AAAAAAAAUGUGAAUAUGAAUACAAAAACGAAUAGGAAUAGGAAUAGGAAUACGAAUACGAAUACGAAUGCGAAUACGAAUACGAAUACGAAUACGAAUACGAAUAGGAAUACAAAUAUGAAUAUGAAAGCACGCCUUUGGAUGACGCCAAGACCUCGGAAAUAUAGUUAGUGUACGCCUUGAGUGUCACCAUAGUUUCGAAACUAAUUUGAAAGUACGCCUCUAGACAUCGACUGAGUUUCGAAGACAUACGCCUUUGGAUGUCGACAGAGUUUCGGAGAUACGUCUAAUGUACUCUUUUGGAAGUCACUAGAACAUCGAAUAUACAGUUAAUGUAUGUUUCUGAGUGUAUCCAAAUAUUCGAAAAUACAACUAAGUAUAGUAGAUAAUCGACAUUCGAGUGUAGUAUAACUAAGAUAUCAGAAUACCUAACAAAUACAACUAAGUAUAGUAGAUAAUCGAUAUUCGAGUGUAGGAUAACUAAGAUAUCAGAAUACCUAACUAAUACUAUAAGUAUGGUAGAUACUAGUACAUCGAAAUUCGAACUAAGAACUAACCGCAACGUUUUGGAAAAUAUGGGAUUUUCCUGGGAUAACAUAACAACUCGUAAACGAAUGGUGUAAUGAAUGGAAAACUAAGCUAAUAGGAAAAUAUGGGAUUUUCCUGGGAUAACAUAACUACUCAUAAUCGAAUCGUGUAACGAAUAAUAACUAAACUGUUUUUAUAUAAGAAAAUAUGGGAUUUUCUUUAAUAACGUCUUUUUCAGAAAACCAAAAGGGAACUCAUUCUUUUCAAAACUAAACCGCUUAUGAAUUCACCAGCUUUCUCUUGAUUUUCAAACUGCUUGUAUUCUCAGGUCAGCAUUAGACAGGUACACCGCCAUCUUUUGGAGAAGACAAAGCGUUUGGAAGACUCGUCUUUGCUUUUUUUCAUAUGAUAUAUAUAUAUAUAUAUAUAUAUAUNUAUAUAUAUAUAUAUAUAUAUAGAUAUAUAUAUAUUUAUGACCUUUAUAAUUCUUUGUUUUCAAACAAUGUAAAUAUUUCUAUGUAAUGUAAUGUUUUGUGUUUACUAUGCUUACUAUGUACAUUGGUUGCGAUAUUCAUGACGUCCUCCGCCCCGGAAUGUUUCCGCCUUCGGUUUCGGGGUGUGACACAAGUUAUCUUGGUCAAUUAGAUUAUUUUGGAGUAGUAAAGUUUUGAUCUUAAAAGCUUGAGACAUUAUAAUGGAUAAAGUUGGAUAAAGCAAGUUUAUCUAUCUAUACAUCAUAUUGAUUUAGAUCUGAAGGUUGAAGACAUGGACUUAAUGGAUUAAGUUGAGAAAUAUGCAUUUUAGGUCCCUUUGAGACUUAAAGACCAGAUCUUGGUUGUUUGGAUCAUCCUAAAGGAUAAAUUUGAAAACUUUAUCCAUUAUGGAUCUAUUAAGAACCAUACAAAUGUGAUCUUGGUCCUUAUAUCCCUUCCAUGCAAGAUUCAUGGUGUCUUAAUGGAUUAUUAAUUUAAGGUUUUAGCUUUUCAACCUUGUCUAGACAUGGAAAGUGAUAAAGGCGGAAGAUUUAUGACUUCGAAUGAUGUUAUGGGUCUAGAUCUGAGUGUUAGAUGAAUUGACUUUAGAGUAUAAACACUUAAUGGAAAAAGUGUCGUCUGACCGAGUAUGAUGGGCGUACUUUUGAGUUCGUUGCAUGUACUCGUAUGGUGUCCUGUUUCUAGAUGGUGAGUAUGACAUGCGUACGAGCUGAGUACGUUGGGCAUACUCAGCCUGAAGUUUGACUUCUUCACUUGUUGACUUUGACCUUUGGCCAGGGUUUCGAUCAAGUUUGACCUAAGGGUAUUUUGGUUAUUUGGGACAAUAUUUUGAGACAAGGUCAUUGUUUGUUGGCAUAAUUAGUUGUGUGUUAUUCAUCUAUCUUUUCGAACUGAGAGGUGAUUUUUCCUUACUGUAUUUGUGGGUCGAAAGCAUCAAUGUCGGCCCACUAGGUUAUGUAUCCUGGUAUAUGGGAUGUUUUUGAAAGACACCAACUUUCGUAUUUCUGAAAGACCCAAACUUUCAUACUUCACAAUACUAUUACUCCAAAACAUGCUACUUGCAUAUUCAUAAAAGCAAUAUUUUACAUUGAUAAAAAGGUUACAAACUACUGGAUACAAACUGACUAUUACAAAGUGUUAUAUAUUACAUAACUACCCAAGAUAUUGUAAUUUAUAUAAACAUAAAGUGAAGUAGAAAAGUAUUAUUACAAACUAUUCUAAUUCUUUCAACAAUAUAUGAUUAUACUGGUUAUUUAUCACCUGCAAUUGUUAAACAUUGAUAGGGUAAGCGGUGACGCUUAGUGAGUUCAAUAAUAGAUACAAUGUAAUGUUAUGUCAUAUAUAUAUACUUCAACAUGGCAGAAGCAAAGAGAAUCAAGGAGCAACAAAGGCAUAUGUGAAUCAUCUGCUAAGCUUUCCAUAUAAAAGAAUAACAUUCAUUCAAAGGUAUACAAUCAAUGAGACAUAACAAUUUCCAUACUUGGUAUACAUCAAUAAAGCUUCGGCCCAAAUGGCACAAAAGACAUAAGAUUUCUGAUUAACAUCUUGGUAGAUUUCAAGCUUAUAGCCCUGUCUAACCAUUUGCCAAUGCCAUAGAAGAGAAGUCAUUCUCUUACAGAGACAUGCUCUACAUGAAUAGAGGCUACGUACCAGUACCAAUGUGAAUCUAAGUCCUUUCACUGAUCACAUGGUCAAAGGUAUUACUUUUGCUAUAGAAAUAGUGAAUAAAAUAUCAUGGGAAAAUAACUUGGAAUAAUAACUCUGAAAAGCACAUAGCACAUAUAAAACACAACAUACAAUUGUUUCUAUAUAUUAAACUCACCUUGAAUUAACUAACGGUCAAAAUAGUAAUUUGGGCAGCGCUUCGGCUUUAAAUAUGACUUUCUAUGUUGAAAACCGAGAGCUUAAUUGAAAACCAGGCUCUGCGAAGGCAGGGCUUCAAAAUUGAAAAGAUAAAUUUUUCGGGCUUCUCGGGCACUUCGUGGCGUAUUUCAGGGGUUAUAAUCGAUAUCGGGGCUUCAGGGAUUUUUAAUAUGAAGAAAAUAUGGAAAAAGGGGUAAAAUAUAGCAAUUUUUAAAGAUUACCCGGGAUGGCUCACAGCCCUCCUUUUAUAGGGCCAAGGUUCGAAUGGUGCGUUGGCAGAAGGAACACGCGGCGUUAGGAGGCGAAGGCAAAGGGCGCAGUAGCGAGGCUCGGACGCAGCAGCUGGCUUGGAUGCGAGGGUCUGACGCUAGACGUCGCCUAUGCGAGGCGGCCAGGUGCGAGGCUCGAAAGGGUGACAAGGGGCGAGGUGCGUCGGAAGUUUGGUGGGCCGCGACUUCGGAAGAAUCGAAAUGCAACAUGCGUCGGAUCCGGGUAGAGCGGUUACUCUUCAUGCAAGGUGACGUAGCUUAGUGCUGACCAUGCGAAAAUUUCUGAUAUUAUCCACUUAUUUCUCGGUUUUUGAGCGAAAAUCUUCUAAAAUCCAUAACUUUCGCAUACGGGCUCCGUUUUUUACGUUCUUUAUAUGCACGCGUAGGUAAAAUUACGCUCUACAGACUUCGUCGGCUAAUUUUGACUUUAAUUUUUAUAUUAUUAUUUUUAACAGAUCGGGACAGGUAAAUCCGUUAAAAAUUCAUAACUUCUUCAUCCGUCAUCUGUUUUUGUCAGACUUUUUACCGUUGUACUACUUUUGACGAGAUCUUCAAUUCUCGUUUAGGUUGUGUCGGCUAAAAAUCACUCGAUCUAAAAUUCGAGUUUUUAGUUGUCUACUACUAAGCUGAAACUUGUAAAAAUCAUAACUUCCUCAUACGAAGUCAUAUUUUGGCGUUCUUUUUAUUGAACUUCUCAGUUUAACGAAUACUACGAAUUUCAUUUAGAUCACUAAGGCUAAAAAGUAGUUUAUCAAAAACUCACUUUUUACGUCAUUCGACGCGGUGUCGGUUUUGUCGCGAAUCUUCGAUUAGUCAUAAGUUUUUCGUUAUAACUCGGAUUUCGACGAGGUUUUCGCCUACAAGUUUCUAACGAGAUUAUUUACAACUUUCAAUAAUCAUAUUUUACUUAUUUAAAAUUUUAUAUUUUCCCUAAAUUUCACUAUUUGGCUUUUAACUGGAAUCUCAUAAGACUUCCAAUAUUUUCUGAAUGAUUCUAAACAUAGUUUUACUUGAUUUCUAGUAAAAACUAUCUGUUAGAACUCAACACACAAUUUCACAUAGUAUUUCACAAUUUUAUUCAUUACAAAACAAGAUUUCAAAACAUGUAUGUUACAAAUACCUCCUCCUUUUGAAGAUUUCGUCUCCGAAAUUACAUUGAUUAAAAUAAAUGGGGAUAUUUCGCUCUUAUCUCAUUCUUAUUUUCCCAAGUAUAAUGUGGGCCUCGAUGGAUUUUCCACUUGACAAGCACCAAUUCUACUUCUUUAUUACGUAGCUUAGUUUUCUUUCAUUCACGAUCUCUUCAGGCUCUUCGACAUAUCUUAACUUAUUAUCCAAUAUCACUUCAGAUAAUGGAACUGUCUCAUCGUAGAUGCACAAGCAUUUGCAUAGAUAACUCAUAUGAAACACAUCAUGCAUACCUGCCAAAUCUUCAGGUAAUUCUAAUCGGUAUGCCUGCUUUCAAAUUCUCUGGAUGAUUUUGAAAGGUCCAACAAAUCUAGGACUCAACUUUCCUUUCUUCCCAAAUCUCAUAAGGCCUUUCCAUGGAGAUACCUUCAGCCUUACAAAAUCACCCACUUGGAAUUCUAUUGGUCGUCUUCUCUUUUAUGUAUAGGACUUAUGUCGAUCCUGGUCCGCUUUCAUUCUUUCUCGUAUGAUUUGGAUCUUAUCGGUGGUGUCUUGAAUCAUUUCAGGGCCUCCAAGGAUCUUCUGUCCUACAUCACGCCAACAUAAUAGUUUACGACAUUUGUGACCAUAUAAUGCUUCAUAUGGUGCCAUUUUGAUUGAAGCAUGGUAAUGUUAUUAUAUGAAAAUUUGACAAGAGGCAAGUAUUUAUCCCAGUUACCACCGAACUCCAAGACACAUGCACGAAGCAUAUCUUCUACUAUUUGGAUUGUUCUCUCUGUCUGACCGUCUGUCUGGGGAUGAUAAGUUUUGCUGAGGGCAACUCGAAAUCCCAAUUCACGUUGCAUACUCGCCCAAAAAUGAGAGGUGAAACGAGUAUUGCGAUCGGAAAUGAUCUUUAGUGGCACACCAUGUCUUGCAACAAUUUAAUCUAAGAAUACAUGUGCGUAUUUCUCCAUUGGAGUCGUUUCACGCAUGGCGAGAAAAUGUGCACUCUUAGUCAGGCGGUCGACGAUUACCCAAAUGCUAUCAUGCUGUCUAGCAGUCUUUGGCAAUUUGGUAAUAAAAUCCAUGGACAGCUCUUCCCAUUUCCAUACAGGAACACUGAGACUUUCUGGGGUUGCGUAUGGUUUUUGGUGCUUUGUUUUAACUUGUAAGCAUACUAAGCAUUCCUGCACAUAUCGUCCAAUGUCUCUCAUUAAUCCAGGCCACUAAUAAUCAGCUCUUACAUCAUAAUACAUUUUACUUGUACCAGGAUGUAUUGACAGCAUAGACUUAUGAGCUUCAUCUAAAAUCUUCUGUGUUAAUCCACCAAUCUUUGGAAUCCAUAGCUGAUUCUUAAAUACUUUUAAUCGUCAUGGAUCUUCAAGUAAAACAUCAGCAUAAUGUACCAUCCCUUCCUUCUUCACAUUUUCUGGCUUUAAGGCCUCAACUUGCCACUUCUGCUAAGUGCAUCUGCAACUACAUUAGCCUUUCCAGGAUGGUACAGGAUUUUGCAGUCAUAGUCUUUGAUCAGCUCCAUGACUCGUUGUUGUCUCAUAUUCAGAGUUUGCUGACUGAAUAUAUACUUGAGACUCUUGUGGUCGGUAAUCAAUUAGCAUUUCGUACCAAAAAGAUAAUGUCUCCAAAGUCUUAGGGGAAAUACCACUGCAGCGAGUUUGAGAUCAUGGGUGGGAUAAUUCUUUUCAUAAUCUUUCAGUUUUCUUGAGGCAUAGGAUAUCAAUUUACCACGUUGCAUGAACACACAACCGAGUCCCAAUCUUGAAGCAUCUCUAUAUAUGGAGAAAUCAUCAUCACCUUCUGGAAGUGAUAAGAUGGGAGCAUGAGUCAAAAGAUCUUUUAAAGUCGAGAAGGCCUUUUCUUGGGCUUCACCCCAUUCGAACUUUGCUUCCUUUCGAGUAAGACUAGUGAGAGGUACAGCUAUACGAGAAAAGUCUUUAAUGAAUCUUAGGUAAUAACCCGCAAGACCCAUGAAACUACGAAUUUCAGAAGCAUUGCGUGGCACUUCCCAUCUUUGAAUGGCUUCGAUUUUGGUAGGAUCUACGGAUACACUGUCACCAGAAAUAAGAUGGCCGUGAAAUUCAACUUGGUGAAGCCAAAAUUCAUAUUUCGAGAAUUUAGCAUAAUGUUUUCCUUUCGAAGAAGUUCUAAGAUUUCACGAAUAUGAAUGACAUGAUCAGCUUCGGACUUGGAAUAGAUUAGAAUAUCGUCAAUGAAUAUGUUGACAAACUUAUCGAGCAUUGGGCGGCAUACUCGAUUCAUCAUAUCCAUGAAUACAGCAGGAGCAUUUGUCAAACCGAAUGCCAUGACAAGGAAUUCGAAAUGCCCAUAACGAGUACGGAAAGAAGUAUUCGGUACAUCUUGCUCUUGUACUUUCAACUAAUGAUUGCCAGAUCUCAAAUCAAUCUUUGAGAAAUAGGUAACACCCUGAAGUUGAUCGAACAAAUCGUCGAUGUGAGGUAGUGGGUACUUGUUCUUUAUAGUCACCUUAUUCGGCUCAUGAUAAUCAAUGCACAUUCGCAUCGAUCCAUCCUUCUUCUUGACAAACAAUACUGGAGCACCCUAGGGAGAGGUACUCAGUUAAAUAAAGCCUUUGUCUAGUAAUUCCUGCAGUUGGAUCAUCAUUUCUUUCAUCUCGGCUGGCACAAGACGAUAAGGAGUCUUUGCAAUCGGAGCAGCACUAGGCACAAUGUCAACUCAGAAUUCUACUUGCCUGUCCGGAGGAAGUCCAGGGAGAUCAUCGGGGAAAACAUCAGGAUAUUCGUUAACAAUGGGAACAUCAUUUACAGUUUUAUUCUCCUUUCUUGAGAUGUCAACUGUAUAUAUAGGCUAGAUAGAUAGGGCAACCCUUCGAUAUAAAUUUAUGAGCUUUGAGGAAAGAAAUUAUUUUUAACAUCCUUUGUUCACCGUAGACAUGAAUAGGAUCUUCCCCUUCAAUAGGAAUGCGUACCAUCUUUUCGUAACACAAGAGCUCUGCGUGGUUCUUUGACAACCAAUCCAUGCCGAGAAUAAUAUCGAAGUUGGGAAAGGAGAUAAGGAUUUGGUUAGCAAGAAAAUUAUAUCCUUCAAUUUCUAUGACACAAUCCCUAUAGAUUUUAUUAGCAAGUAAUGAUAUACUUCCCGUAGUAUCAACGUGAAAUGGUUGCGCCAUUGCAUAGCAAGUAGUUUGAAAAGAAUGUGCAAAUUCAUAAGAUACAAAAGAAUCUGAGGCACCAGAAUCAAAUAAGAUGUGAGCAGGUCUAGAGUUGACAAGAAAUGUACCCGUCACAACAUUCGGGUCCUCGUGUGCUUCCUUAGUGGUAAUCUAGAAUGCACGACCCUUAGCUUUUGGCACCUCCUACUUUUUAGCUGGAGUAUUCUUUGGUUGUUGGACUGGGACUUGACUUCUCGUCGGUUGUUGAAUAGAAGCUUGACUUCCCGUCACUUGGCUGGUAAGAGUAGGGCAAAAACGCUUCUUGUGGCCAGUAAUACCACAUGCAUAGCAAGUCACAUCCGUCUUUGGGAAAGCUGGCUUUAUAUGACUAGUUUCUCCACACCCAUAACAGUCAAUGGAUUCCUUGUCUAUUUUAUAUUUACCUGGGUGAUUCCUUCCACAAACACGACAUGAAGGUGAUUGAAUAGAAAAAGAUUGUGACCUGCCGCGGCCACGAAAAGCACUUUGAGAUUGCGCUUGCUUGCUAGGAUCAGUUCGAACAGAUUGAGCCGGUGGAAUAGUGAAAACAGGAUUAGUUCUUUCAGUACGUGGAUGCUUUGGAACAGUAAGAGUGGCACCACGUAUCUCUAAGUCAUUCUCACGCCUUCAAGCAUACUCAACAGCUUUAUCAAACGACAAAACAUCCCGAUUGGCUACAAAAUCAUGGAUUUCAUGUCGUAGUCCCUCCAUGAAUAACUGAAUUUUCUCGUCUUCAGUUGGAAUAUACUUUGUAGCAAACCUUGCUCUUUGAUUAAACCGAGUUUAUACUCAUUCAUAGUCAUUCCUCCUUGUUUAAGCUCGAGGAAUUCCUUCUCCAAUCUUCUCCUCAUAUCUAGAGGAUAAUACUUCUCUAGCACACGAGUUUUGAACAACUCCCAGGAUAAAUUCUCCUAGUCAUAUCCGUUGAGAGCUUCAUAUGUUGCUUCCCACCAGACCAAGGCUUCUCCGAUGAGCAUUGCAGAAGCAUAGAUAGCCUUGUCUUCAUCAUCCACAUGAGAGACACGAAAUACUUUCUCGGUGUUCUGAAUCCAAGUUAGAGCAACUAUGGGAUUAAGGACACCAAAAAACUCUGUAGCACCACUACUCUUGAAAUAUUUGAACGAGGAACGCUUCACCUUUCCGCUUGAAGAAUCUCUAGUGGCUUUCUCUUUUCCUUUAUCACCAUUCUUUUUGUGUUCUUCGAGAGUCUAUCGAAUAAAACCAGUAAGUUUACCCAAGAGUCGAUCCUCACGAGGAGAGAGUAUUCACNAUUCACUUCCUCGGGUUGAGGACCUCCACCAACCUCAGGGGUAUGGCUACUUACUUGUUCAGCCAUCGUUCUGAAAUUUAGGAGUAAUAUAGAAUUUUAGAAUAUUAGGAUUUAUUAAAGCCUAGUAUUUCAAUUAUGUCUUUCCUAUGGUUUGUAUCCAUAUACAUAUAAUGAUUCAGUUCAUAUAUUGAACUUCCAAUAGUUUAAGUCUAAAUACAAUCUGUGGCAUUUAGUUCACUUAAACUACUACUCUGAUACCAUGAUUGGAAGACCCCAAUUUUCGUAUUUCUAAAAGACCUAAACUUUCAUACUUCACAAUACUAUUACCCCAAAACAUGCUACUUGCAUAUUCAUCAAAGCAAUAUUUUACAUUGAUAAAGAGGUUACAAACUACUGGAUACAAAGCGACUAUUACAAAGUGUUAUAUAUUACAUAACUACCCAGGAUAAUGUAAUUUAUACAAACAUAAACUGAAGUAGAAAAGUAUUAUUACAAACUAUUCUAAUUCUUUCAACAAUAUAUGAUUACACCGGUUACUUAUCAACUGCAAUUGUUAAACAUUGAUAGGGUAAGUGGUGACGCUUAGUGAGUUCAAUAAUAGAUACAAUACAAUGUUAUUUCAUAAAUAUACUUCAAUAUGGCAGAAGCAAAGAGAAUCAAGUAGCAAAAAAGGCAUAUGUGAAUCAUGUGUUAAGAUUUCCAUAUCAAACAAUAACUUGAUUCAAAGGUAUACAAUCAAUGAGACAUAACAAUUUCCAUACUUGAUAUACAUCAAUAAAGCUUCGGCCCAAAUGGCACAGAAAACAUAAGAUUUCUGAUUAACAUCUUGGUAGAUUUCAAGCUUAUAGCCCGGUCUAACCAUUUGCCAAUGCCAUAGAAUAGAAGUCAUCCUCUUACGGAGACAUGCUAUACAUGACCAGAGGCUACGUACCAGUACCAAUGUGAAUCUAAGUCCUUUCACUGAUCACAUGGUCAAAGGUAUUACUUUUGCUAUAGAAAUAGCGAAUAAAAUAUCACGGGAAAAUAACUCGGAAUAAUAACACUGAAAUGCACAUAGCACAUAUAAAACAUAACAUACAAUUGUUUCUAUAUAUUAAAUUCACCUUGAAUUAACCGGGGGUCAAAAUAGUAAUUUGGGCAGCGCUUCGGCUUUAAAUAUGACUUUCUAUGUUGAAAACCGGGAGCUUAAUUGAAAACCGGGCUCUGCGAAGGUAGGGCUUCAAAACCGAAAAAAUAAAUUUUCCGGGCUUCUCGGGCACUUCGUGGCGUAUUUCGGGGGUUAUAAUCGAUAUCGGGGCAUCGGGGAAUUUUAAAAUGAAGAAAAUAUGGAAAAAGGGGUCAAAUAUAGCAAUUUUUAAAGAUUACCCGGGAAGGCUCGCAGCCCUCCUUUUAUAGGGCCGAGGUUCGGACGGUGCGCUGGCAGAAGGAACACGCAGCAACAGGAGCCGAAGGCAGAGGGCGCCGCAGCGAGGCUCGGACGCAGCAGCUGGCUCGGAUGUGAGGGUUGGACGCUAGACGUCGCGCAUGCGAGGCGGCCAGGUGCAAGGCUCGGAAGGGUGACAAGGGGCGAGGCGCGUCGGAUGUUGUGUGACAACCCAAGUUUGUUCCGUUACAUUUCCCCGUUACUAUUAACGAAAUAUCCCCUUUUGUAAAAGUUCCCUUAAUUAGAGGCCACCAAUUAAAUAAAUAUUUCAUUUAUUUAUAUCUUUAUGUCGUUAAGUCGUGAUAAGAGAAAUAAAAACUCGUAAUACACAUUUCCAUUUAAUUGGAAAAGUUAGUUUUUAUUAUCACGACCACUAAAUCGGGUGCGACCAAAAGCCCCGUAUAAUGGCAGUAUCGGGUAGAAUUCCACUGAGCUCCAACUCCCACCCAUAUAUAAGGGGGAGUAAACUCCAUUUGAGCCUUUUCCACCCUCUCUCUCUAUACUCUCUCUCUAGACUCGUUUUCGACCCGAAUCCGCAACCAAACGCUUCCAAAUCGUAAGUCCACUUAUCCUAACUUGUUCUAAACAUUAUGAUUCGUGUUUAUAGCUUAAAAUUCGACCAUUUAAGCUGUUGAAAAGGAGUUCACGGCCUAAGAUCCUCCUUAGGCCGUAAACACCUUAAAUAUGGCCAAAAAGACCCAAACUUGUCCCUAAAAGCUUGGAAAUAAAUUGAGGAUUUAGCCUAGGAGUGUUUGAUCAUUUAAAACCAUCAAAAUGAGGCAUAAAAGAGAGUUUACGGCCCAAGCACAUGCUUAGGCCGUAAACACCUCUAAACCUUGUCAAAAUGCGACAAACACACUCGCAAAACACCCUUAGGCUUAAUACAUAAUUUAGGGACUUGAUAUUUCAGGUUUAGUACAAUUAAACACAAUGAAAUGAAGGGACAAAAGGAGUUUACGGCCCAGAAAUGUGUCAAGGCCGUAAACACCCUCAAACAUGCCAAAACAUUGAUUUUUAUUCCCCAAAUGGCCUUAGACUAUUACUAUAAAAUGCUAGGAGUGAUUUAAGGGCUUAAAACUUCACUUAACUCAUGGCAUAGGAGUUCACGGCCGUGAACUCCCUUAGGGAUGGUUCAUGGGCCGUAAACUCCAUAAUGGUGCCCUUAAAGACCCUAAACUCAUUUAUACCAUUUAGAUUUUGACCUAGAAAAAUCCGACGAACAAGAUUGAACCCUUAAAACACACUAGAACCCCUCACAAUGAGUUUACGGCCGUAAACUCAUGGGGAGUUGUCCCUAGGCCAUAAACUAAGUGUAGAGAGUUUACUCUCAGAGAGUAAACUCCAUUCCUAAGCCAUACACACCCUUAGAUGUUACCCGGGACACCCCAAACGCUUAACCAAAGUGUUUUCCGCUCCUUAGAGAGCGUAUACUUGUUUAAUUAGUAUUAAAUAUACUAAUUGUAUGUGAACAUAUGUCAUCAUAUGUUAAAUAGGUCAUUGAGUGUGUUCGAGACUUUACUUGACAACCGAACACCCAACCGGCACCUUCGUCGGAUCUACUUACACCAGGUGAGUUCAUACCCCUGAAUGAACCUUUUAAAUGUUUUUACAUGUUUUAUAGGGGGGAAUAAAAGUUAAACAUGCUAGUUAUCAUAUCAAUCACAUGUGAUUGAUAACCCACAUGCACAAGGUUUUUACCACACUGUACACUGUUUUACCGAGUAGGAUGCUAUAAUGGUUUUUAAAAAGGUUUUCAUUUGUUUCAAAACUCUCACUUAAUCUGUUUUAUCUAAAUUCAUUUUUAAACUGGUUUAUAAAGGUUCCAAAGAUUUCUAAAGGUUGUCACACUUAUUUUUCCAAAGAAUACCAAAAUGUGAUUUUCCCCGAGUAUAAAGGUUUUUCCAAGAUUUCAUCAAUGUUCCCUUUCACGACGUAUACUUUUACUUGUUAAUUACUGCUACUUCGCUUCCACUUAUUUUAAACUCCUACUUGAUAACGCUUUCACUUCGCGAUGCGUUUAUACCUGUUAUCGCCUCUAUAUUGCUUAUACUUGUAGUCGCUUAUACCUGAUAUUGUCUCUAUUCCGCUUAUACUGAUAGCCACUUAUACAUGAUAAACGGUUUUACUUCACCAGUUGUCGCUUCCACUUCGUGAUAUACUUAUACUUGGUACACUUAUACUUCACGAUUCGGUUAUUCCACACUGUAGGAUUACACACCACGAUGAUACGUUUCCACUUGUUACACACUCAGUCGUAGUUAGAUGUAUGUAUGUGCUUGUAUGGAUAUAUAUAAAUAAUGAUUGAAGGACUUAGGAAGGUUCGUCCGCCCUAUUUCCUUUUCUUCGUUGAGAUGUGGUCUGGUGGGAUCGGAUGGCCGUCCGAAGGUCGUUUGGUUCGUUAGUUAUAUAUUAUGUAUACGAGUAUAGAUGUAUAGGUAUGCUCUAGUCAGUUCAGUCAUGAGUCUCUACCUCUAGUUCAACACUUACAUUAGAAACCCACUACCCACUAGAAACCCACUACCCACUGUUUGGAAGUCAUUANUAGAAACCCACUACCCACUGUUUGGAAGUCAUUACCCACUAUUUGGGAUGCAUCUUCGGGACACGGCCUUCUCCGUCGUCUAGUUGGUAACCAGAGUCUCCUGUAGGGAGAGCAGACAUUGUGUGUAUAGAUCUAUACGGGAUUGACACCCCCGCACCCUGACUGCUAGCUACAGUCCACGGCCCACCAAGCCAAGGGGUGACAAAUGUCGUAUUUUCUAGACGCUUGUAGGGUGUCUGGUACUCUAGUGUCAGUUAGUGUGGUUACGAGUAUCCCAAGUUACCUUAUAAUUCAUGGCCUUAAGGUAACGGUAUUUCACCAGCAAUUUACACUGUAUGUUGGUAACUCAUUCUCAGAGUCACACUGUUUUUGACCUUGCAAGUUGUAUCUUUCAUUUGAUACUGUCUGCGGUCUAUAUUCUCUGUUUUUGACCUUUCAAGAUGUGUCUUUCAUUUGAUACUAUAUGUGGUCUGUAUUCACUGUUUUAGACNNNNNNNNNNNNNNNNNNNNNNNNNNNNNNNNNNNNNNNNNNNNNNNNNNNNNNNNNNNNNNNNNNNNNNNNNNNNNNNNNNNNNNNNNNNNNNNNNNNNUCGUUCCAAACUGUUCUCAAAUCUCUCCAGGCCGGAGAGUGAAACUUUUCCCAGUAUAAAAGGUAACUUAGUGGGAACGACUCGCAUCUUAUGGCCUUUUCCAAUACUCAUACUCCUACCUUGAUUUCCAGGACUACAUCAUAGGGAUGUAGGUCGACACUCAGACAGCCAAUACCAGAGGCACGGGAAAAAUCUAUGCCUAAUGCAGUCAGGACAGAUAUGUCCAGGGCUAUCCAUCAUCUCUCAUAAUCUUGUAUUCCUUUCCGUGUAGGAAAACCAUGCCACCAAAGAAGCGUAAGUAGUCCACAAGCAAGAAACCUACUCUCUUAUUCGAUGAAGCUACGUUCCAAGCUGCAGUCUCAGCAGCCGUAGNUCCGAUCCUAGCAAUGGACAGCAGCAACCAACACCUUCAUACCCAGUCACCCAAGAACCUCAACCGAACCCACUAAAGAGAAAACUCAAGAUUGAGGAGGGAAGUACCUCGGCUCAAGGACCUUCCGAAGGGCAACGAGCUGAGACAGCUAGCACUCCUGUCAAUCCUUCCCACCUGACUUCAAGAAGACCAUACCUAGGAAACCUUCCCCACUAUAGCAGGUGCAGCUACCAUCAUCAUGGUGCCUGCCGGGAACUCUUAUGUGUUAGGUGCAACAUGAAGGGGCAUACUGCUCGUGUAUGCAGAACUCCGGUGGAACGUAUUGCAUCAAUCGCCAAUGCAGCGACCAAGCAGGUUUGCCGCCUAUGUUGCGAGAUUGGACACCUCAAAAGGGAUUGCCCAACUGAAGGAAACAACAAAGACACAGGAGGAGCCUAACUCUACUGCUUAGGGAGAAGCGUCGAGGAACUCGUUAGGUUUUGGUACGUCUCUCGAUCUCGGAUGACUAAACUAAAAACAAUAAAAGACUAAUUCAAAUGUAAAUUUUUCCCAGUAAGGCGAAAGUCGCAGAACUGUUAUAAAAGUUAAAAAUUCAUCAGGUAAAACUAUAAUGGCUAAACAUAUACGUUACGGCCAUGUACAGUUAAGAUGGACAGACCUAGAGUGAGUGAAUGUCGCCUCAUUUCCUGUUCCUCAUUUGGUUGUGGAUUUAGGGCGAAGUCGCUCAGUCAACAGUCCUCCCCACCUUAAAUAUACAUGACUAGUAUAUGUUAGGCUAUUAUAGAAAUGCCUUGUGAGAAUCCAUUCAUGAAAAGGUACUCUAUUCGGAAACACUUAGGACUCUCUAUAGUUCCACGUCGACUCUAUUGGUCCAAGUACCCGCGGUAGUGAUACACAGGACGAAACCUGAAACGCCUAGAACUUGUGUGCCUGUUCCGCACAUGACUCUAUCGAUCUUCAUUAUAUAUCAUGUCGGAGUGUGCCAACUUCGACGACUCUAUUGAUCGUGGUUUGACUUCGUGCAACCAUGUGUACAUUCUUAGUGCUGUAUAAAAAGAACUUUCUCCGUAGCCAUGUCGGCAAAUAAAGAUUCUCCCGAACCUAAACCUAACACAAAUAAUCAAACCUAAUGCGAUCCGUCAAUCGCCCCUCUUAUCUCAAACCUUCCGAAGUACCCAAGACAGGGUACCAUGCGCCGUUUACCAACCCCUCGUAGUCAGAUGAACACCGAAGUGAAGGACACUGUCGAUACUCCAGAAGACAAUAACCAUCCGGAGCAUACUCCGAAGAAUCCCCAGAAAGACCUUUCGCACCUUUCACGUCGGGUUCGUAAACCUAGAGAUUAGAACUCAUAAGGAAGAACCACUGUAACCAGGUAUAUGCAUAAAGGUGGUAUAUAAUUGAGAUCAAAAAGAUUUAAGGUGUGUGUUUCCUCCCUACUCCCUGUUCCUCGUUGGGUUGUGGGUUUCGGGUGGAGUCGCACAGCUGAACAUCCUGCCGACCUCAAUUUUAUAUUGCUUGCAUACACCAAGUAUUGGUGGUUAAGCCAGGUAUGAGCUCUAUCACGAACCUCUUAGAAAAUCCCUUCAUCCUAUUCCAUAAAAUAGGAGCUGGAGUCAAGAGUAUUACUGCGGGUUGAUCUAUUAAAGUUCCGAGUGAUGAGACCCUAUACUCACUAGAUUUGACCUAGACCGAGAAAACUCAGAACCUUCGGAAAAGUAGUUGCAGUAGAUGUUCGCACUACUCAGGCACUUUGUCCACCCCGUUAUAGACGAACAGUGCCUAUCAUCCUCCACCCUCUUGCAUGGAGGAAAUCGUCGUCACCCUAUAGACGAUAAAAUGCAUCCUCCGAAGUGAACACUAGGAUACCAAGAACCACAAGAUAACCUCCGCAGCCAAGAAUCCUUGAUCGAAGUGUGAAAGUAGCGACGUUAAACCUCAUGACCCAGAUUUCGAAGAGAUUAUAGACUUGACACCAGUCUUGGGGUUAGUCAAAGGGUUAUGUAGGAGCAUGCGCUUUCCGCACGAGAAUGAACCAGAGUCAUAGAGAUUCAUUGGACUAUUAGGUGCUCCAUGAAUACUAUCUCACGCAGAGAUAGUAGAACCACCUCCCGAGAUAGUCCAACACACGUCUGGUGAAACCCUAUCUCCCCGACCCGGAGGGCUUCCGUAUCUCAAGCUUCGUUAGUGCAUGUUCACUUUGCACGGGCUUGAGAUAGACAUUAUUCAGCAAACCGAUAACCAUAGUCACGCAACCCACUCGACGACCUAGAAAGUCUCUAACAGCCAGUUGAUAGGAAACGCGAAACCAAAGACCACCCGAGCUUCAUAAGAACCAACCUGAAGGACUACACAUCCAGUACGAGUGAGAAUGUUAGGAACUUCGGAAUGGUGAUCACGCCAGUGAUAAUCUUGCCAUAGAAGUACACUAUGUUCUAAGUACUGAAAAGCUUUACCCUUCCGAGAGCUUAGGACCAUAUGAGAAUCCUCGUGGAGAUUUGGUCCAACCUUCGACAGACCACUACUCCCUUCAGAUACUCCACAAGAUUCACACCCGAUCGAUCCACUUAUUAGACUUGAUACGGGAUUGCCCGAUGCCAUUCUUCGUGUCCCACUCAUCUUGAUAGAAAGCCAUUGAGAACUCUAACCUCGUAGAUACACCAGUCGGAACUCGCUAACUACAUGAGACGGAAUCCGCUUCCCGUAGGUGAAGGUUUAUUGGAAUGACAAACACAGACCAGAGUUCACUAGGGAAUAAAGGACAAAAUGAAUAGGAAGUACCCUUCUGCCUCUAUCAUUCAUACCUACUUCCCUGCUUAGACCUGAAUUUCGGGACGAAAUUCCCUCUAACGGGGGGAUGAUGUGACAACCCAAGUUUGUUCCGUUACAUUUCCCCAUUACUAUUAACGGAAUAUCCCCUUUUGUAAAAGUUCCGUUAAUUAGAGGCCACCAAUUAAAUAAAUAUUUCAUUUAUUUAUAUCUUUAUGUCGUUAAGUCGUGAUAAGAGAAAUAAAAACUCGUAAUACACAUUUCCAUUUAAUUGGAAAAAGUUAGUUUUAUUAUUACGACCACUAAAUCGGGUGCGACAAAAAGCCCCGUAUAACGGUAGUAUCGGGUAGAAUUCCACUGAGCUCCAACUCCCACCCAUAUAUAAGGGGGAGUAAACUCCAUUUGAGCCUUUUCCACCCUCUCUCUCUAUACACUCUCUCUAGACUUGUUUUCGACCCGAAUCCGCAACCAAAUGCUUCCAAAUCGUAAGUCCACUUAUCCUAACUUGUUCUAAACAUUAUGAUUCGUGUUUAUAGCAUAAAAUUCGACCAUUUAAGCUGUUGAAAAGGAGUUCACGGCCUAAGAUCCUCCUUAGGCCAUAAACACCUUAAAUAUGGCCAAAAAGACCCAAACUUGUCCCUAAAAGCUUGGAAAUAAAUUGAGGAUUUAGCCUAGGAGUGUUUGAUCAUUUAAAACCAUCAAAAUGAGGCAUAAAAGAGAGUUUAUGGCCCAAUCACAUGCUUAGGCCGUAAACACCUCUAAACCUUGUCAAAAUGCCCCAAACACACUCCCAAAACACCCUUAGGCUUAAUACAUAAUUUAGGGACUUGAUAUUUCGGGUUUAGUACAAUUAAACACAAUGAAAUGAAGGGACAAAAGGAGUUUACGGCCCAGAAAUGUGUCAAGGCCGUAAACACCCUCAAACAUGCCAAAACAUUGAUUUUUAUUCCCCAAAUGGCCUUAGAAUAUUACUAUAAAAUGCUAGGAGUCAUUUAAGGGCUUAAAACUUCACUUAAUUCAUGGCAUAGGAUUUCACGGAUGUGAAAUCUCUUAGGGAUAGUUCAUGGGCCGGAAACUCCAUAAUGGUGCCCUUAAAGACCCUAAACUCAUUUAUACAAUUUAGAUUUGGACCUAGAAAAAUCCCACGAACAAGAUUGAACCCUUAAAACACACUAGAACCCCUCACCAUGAGUUUACGGCCGUAAACUCAUGGGGAGUUGUCCCUAGGCCGUAAACUAAGUGUAGAGAGUUUACUCUCAGAGAGUAAACUCCAUUCCUAAGCCAUACACACCCUUAGAUGUUACCUGGGACACCCCAAACGCUUAACCAAAGUGUUUUCCGCUCCUUAGAGAGCGUAUACUUGUUUAAUUAGUAUUAAAUAUACUAAUUGUAUGUGAACAUAUGUCAUCAUAUGUUAAAUAGGUCAUUGAGUGUGUUCGAGACUUUACUUGACAACCGAACACCCAACCGGCACCUUCGUCGGAUCUACUUACACCAGGUGAGUUCAUACCCCUGAAUGAACCUUUUAAAUGUUUUUACAUGUUUUAUAGGGGGGGAAUACAAGUUAAACAUGCUAGUUAUCAUAUCAAUCACAUGUGAUUGAUAACCCGCAUGUACAAGGUUUUUACCACACUGUACACUGUUUUACCGAGUAGGAUGCUAUAAUGGUUUUCAAAAAGGUUUUCAUUUGUUUCAAAACUCUCACUUAAUAUGUUUUAUCUAAAUUCAUUUUUAAACUGGUUUAUAAAGGUUCCAAAGAUUUCUAAAGGUUGUCACACUUAUUUUUCCAAAGAAUACCAAAAUGUGAUUUUCCCCGAGUAUAAAUCUUUUUCCAAGAUUUCAUCAAAGUUCCCUUUCACGACGUAUACUUUUACUUGUUAGUUACUGCUGCUUCGCUUCCACUUAUUUUAAACUCCUACUUGAUAAUGCUUUCAAUUCGCGAUGUGUUUAUACCUGUUAUCGCCUCUACAUCGCUUAUACUUGUAGUCGUUUAUACUUGAUAUUGUCUCUAUUUCGCUUAUACUGAUAGCCACUUAUACCUGAUAGAUGCUUUUACUUCACCAGUUGUCGCUUCCACUUUGUGAUAUACUUAUACUUGGUACACUUAUACUUCAUGAUUCGGUUAUUCCACACUGUACGAUUACACACCACGAUGAUAUGUUUCCACUUGUUACAUACUCAGUCGUAGUUAGAUGUAUGUAUGUGCUUUUAUGGAUAUAUAUAAAUAAUGAUUGAAGGACUUAGGAAGGUUCGUCCGCCCUAUUUCCUUUUCUUUGUUGAGAUGUGGUCUGGUGAGAUCGGAUGGUCGUCCGAAGGUCGUUUGGUUCAUUAGUUAUAUAUUAUGUAUACGAGUAUAGAUGUAUAGGUAUGCUCUAGUCAGUUCAGUCAUGAGUCUCUACCUCUAGUUCAACACUUACAUUAGAAACCCACUACCCACUAGAAACCCACUACCCACUGUUUGGAAGUCAUUACCCACUAUUUGGGAUGCAUCUUCGGGACACGGCCUUCUCCGUCGUCUAGUUGGUAACCAGAGUCUCCUGUAGGGAGAGCGGACAUUGUGUGUAUAGAUCUAUACGGGAUUGACACCCCCGCACCCUGACUGCUAGCUACAGUCCACGGCCUACCAAGCCAAGGGGUGACAAAUGUCAUAUUNCUGGUACUCUAGUGUCAGUUAGUAUGGUUACGAGUAUCCCAAGUUACCUUAUAAUUCAUGGCCUUAAGGUAACGGUAUUUCACCAGCAAUUUACAAUGUAUGCUGGUAACUCAUUCUCAGAGUCACACUGUUUUUGACCUUGCAAGUUGUAUCUUUCAUUUGAUACUGUCUGCGGUCUAUAUUCUUUGUUUUUGACCUUGCAAGUUGUAUCUUUCAUUUGAUACUGUAUGCGGUCUAUAUUCUCUGUUUUUGACCUUGCAAGAUGUGUCUUUCAAUUGAUACUAUCCGUGGUCUGUAUUCACUGUUUUAGACCUUACCAGCUGUACCUUUCAUUUGGUACCUUCUGGGGUCUGUGUCUCCUUUUGGUAGACUGAGCCAGGCGUGUCGUUCAUUCGAUACUCUCCUGGAGUCUAGGAUUCCUUUGCCUUAGUCAGCAGUCCUCACUGCUGAGGCAUAUGUUAUUUCCCUGAUUCUUCUUGCUUUCUUUAAAAAUCAAAUUCAGUAUUUUGAUAAUGAUAGCGAUUAAUGGAAAACUACUUUUACCACACUAACUCCGUCCAGUCUUGGUAGAAGACUGCUUUUAUUAAAGAAAAUAUAGGAUUUUCUGGAAAGAACUCUAAUACACUGUAAAUUCUUAAACUACUACAUUAUAAUGUUAUUUGAAUAAAAUGUCACUAAAUACUUAUGAACUCACCAACAUUUGUAAAAAUGCUGAUACUCGCUUUUCAAAUAACUUGUAUUCUCAGGUCAGCAUUAGACAGGUACAUCCCCGGAGCUGUUGAUGAAGAUAGCUUAGUACCAUGUUGUACUUAUUAUAUUUGCUUGUAUUACUCUUAUGUACUAUAAUGUGAACCAUGUAAAACUAUUACUAUUAAUGCAAUGUUUUGUUGUACUUUGAUUGCUAUAAUACAUGUAUUGUGAUACUUGACAUGACGUCAUCCACCCCAGAACGUUUCCGCCGUUCCGGUUUUGGGGUGUGACAAGUUGGGUGGGCCGCGGCUUCAGACGAAUCGGAAGGCAACACGCGUCGGAUCCGGGUAGAGCGGUUACUGUUCAUGCGAGGUGACGUAGCUUAGUGCUGACCAUGCGAAAAUUUCCGAUAUUAUCUACUUAUUUCUCGAUUUUUGAGCCAAAAUCUUCUAAAAUCCAUAACUUUCGAAUACUGGCUCCGUUUUUGACGUUCUUUAUAUGCACGCGUAGGUAAAAUUACGUUCUACAGACUUCGUCGGCUAAUUUUGACUUUAAUUUUUAUAUUAUUAUUUUUAACAGACAAGGACAGGUAAAUCCGUUAAAAAUUCAUAACUUCUUCAUUCGUCAUCCGUUUUCGUCAGACUUUUUACCGUUGUACUACUAUUGACGAGAUCUUCAAUUCUCGUUUAGGUUGUGUCGGCUAAAAAUCACUCGAUCUAAAAUUCGUGUUUUUAGCUGUCUACUGCUAAGCUGAAACUUGUAAAAAUGAUAACUUCGUCAUACGAAGUCAUAUUUUGGCGUUCUUUUUAUCGAACUUCUCAGUUUAACGAAUACUACGACUUUCAUUUAGAUCACUAAGGCUAAAUAGUAGUUUAUCAAAAACUCACUCUUUACGUCAUUCGGCAUCAUGCCGGUUUUGUCGCGAAUCUACGAUUGGUCAUAACUUCUUCGUUAUAACUCGGAUUUCGACGAGGUUUUCGCCUACAAGUUUCUAACGAGAUUAUUUACAAAUUUCAAUAAUAAAACUUUACUUAUUUAAAAUUUUAUAUUUUCCCUAAAUUUCACUAUUUUGCUUUUAAUUGGAAUCUCAUAAGAUUUCCAAUAUUUUCUAAGUGAUUCUAAACAUAGUUUUACUUGAUUUCUAGUAAAACUAUAUGUUAGAACUCAACACUCAAUUUCACAUAGUAUUUCACAAUUUUAUUCAUUACAAAACACGAUUUCAAAACAUAUAUGUUAUAGUUUUUAUCCUAUAGUGAUAUGUUAGAUCUGUAUCGUGGUAUAUAGGAUGUUGUUAUGUGAUAGUGACCUGUAGAUCUACCUGUUUGUUUGUUGACUGGUUAUAUGUUUAUCUGAUGCAUAUGUUGACAUAGUGUAGUUGGGUUGAAAUUGUACUGCUUUGUGCAGCAAGUCAACAAAUUCACGACAAUCGAAAAGGGAUGUUGUGGGUUAGGGGUAAUCUAACUGGGAGGUUGUGGACCAGUAUGUAGUAUGUAGGGCAGAUGGAAUUCGAACCGGAAGGUUGUGGGCUAGGGAUGAUCCAACCAGGAGGUUGUGGACCCAAUAUGUAGUAUGUAGGGCAAUCCAACCAAAAGAUUUUGGGCCAUGGGUAAUCCAAUCGGUAGGUUGUGUGCCUAGUAUGUAGUAUGUAUGAGAAUCCACCAGGAGGUUGUGGGCCAGGGAAUUCCAAUUGCAAGGUUGUAGACCAUGGGUAAUCCAAAGGGGAUGUUGUAGACUCGAGGGUAUUCUAGUCUGAUGAGUGACUGGACCCAACAUAAAUGAUUGUAUAUGCUAUAUGUUUAUGUUAUGGUGCUUUGGAGUAACUCACUAAGCUUCAUGCUUACGGUAUAAAUUUUAUGUUUCAGGUAAUUUAGAUGCCCAUGGAAAGCACAGGCAUGAUCGUACACAUCCUUAGAAGAUAUAUAUUUUUGGAGAUUUAUGAUGAUAAUAAAUUGGGACACUCUAAUAUAUGAUUUCUAUUUUGAGAGCAAUGUUUUGUAAAUGAUUGGCUUGAUUUGGGUUUUGUCAGAAAACAAUGAUUUCUCUUCAUUUAAAAAUGAAAAUUUUUACCUUCAUUUUUGGGACGUUACAUUAUUGCUAGAUGUCAUAGAUAAUAAUAACUUAUAGUAUUAUAGGUUAAUACUUGUUAGAUGUGUUACCCGUCAGUUGAAUCGUCAGUAGGAUCACCUAGAUAGUUAUCAAUCUUCUAAAUAACUAUCCAGGUGAGUUAUCUCACUAUACUAUGUAUUACAAUACAUGUNUUAGUAGGGUAGAGCCGAAGUAUAGUCUUUAUGUGCUUACUUUUAUUGUACUAGAGUUAUUCAUUAUGGUUAAGUUACUGGUUAACAGUGGAACGAGGACAUGUACAUGUACGGAGCCUAUAGACUCGUGUUGCCGACGAAAUGGCAGGUUGGCCUUAAGUCUAGAUACAUAUAUUAUUUUUGGAUCUUCGAAAGGUCCUGAGCCAUUUUUAUAUGCAUGUAUAUGUAUUGCGAUAUAUGGUAUUUUUGGGGAACUAACUAAGCUCCGUGCUUAACCAAUUGAUAACAAAUGAUUUUAGGUAGAUCACGAAAAGGGCAAGAUUUGACUGUACACGUGCAUUGGCAUCAUGUUUUCUAUAUAAUUUAAAUAUACUCUGAUUUGAAUGAGAUGUUGUUAAAUGAUAAAAAAAUGUUGUGGGAAUCAAGAUGCUACGAAAUCCCUAAUAUGUAAGGAUCUCAUUCUAGAAUAGUCUUAACCCUAGUAUAAAAGUUACACAAGAUUUGCAUGUAAAAGUAUGUCACUUUGUGCAUUCUCUCUUUGUGAGAUUUCUUAAUCAAAAUUGUUUUUUGAGUAUUAAUUGUUCUUAGUUGUUUAUUGGUUUAUAUAUCUUGUUAUUAAGGCCCUUCAUCUACCUGUGAAUCUUGUCACAAUACAUGUUGUUUAGAUGUAUUUAUUUUUACAAUGUUUUCACACAAACACAUACUUGAAGUGUUUAUUAAUAAACAUUUAUCUCAAAUAGUUAUUUGAAGCAUAUAAUAAUGAAAUUUUAUCUGCAAUUGCAAAUUAAUAUUAAGUAAGCAUUAUUGCAUGGAAGUUGAGGAUGUAGUGUAGAAAAUUCUGAAUUUCCAUGAGAUGCUAUUAUAUGUUAUUUAUGAGGAAACAAACUCAUGACACCCAUGUGAUGCAAUCCUCUGUUUUGAAUUGAGAAAUUGUAAUCUCUUUCAAUGAUUUUAACUGUGUACUUAACUUGCAUUUGAAAUUAACUUUAUUCCUUUAUGUAAUAGUUACUAUAUAAACAUGAUCAUUUGCUUUAUAUCAACUCAUACUUUGUGUCGUACAUAAUGUCUACCUUCUACUCAAAACAAGAAAUUAUGUUAUUCAUACAUAAUAUAUCAUAUACGAUAUGGUACAAAGAAAGAGUACAAUAACAUCCUUAGAAGAUAUCAUAAAAGUUACUGAGGAGUAGAUGCAUAUUUAGGGGAAACUUUUCUCAUAUCAUGCCGCUUCAAACAUGUGAGAUCCCUAAUUUUCAGAACCAAAAAAAAAUUAUUUAUGCUUUCAAAAAUCAUAUUUUAUUUAUUUACGGAAUAUCACAUUAUAUUACAACAUUUUGAGUACAAAUGAAUGUCUCAACAUAAUAAAACUUCAAGGAUGUCACAAUCGAUACACAACAUAUGAUGCAUAUAAAAUGAGUGGGUCAUGUUGGGAAACCUAGUAAGAUACAUAAGGUUUUCAAUCCCAUAAUGUUUUAACAAUAACUAUUCAUAUAUCAGAUACCUACAAAACCAAAUGUUGUUAUCACUACAGAUAUAUCAUAUCUAUAAGACAAUCUACCUCAUACUAUUGAUCCUCAAAUAUUGAUCCUAUACAAUGACCUUAUGAGAUUUGUACAUAAGGAUCACUAUGAACAACAAUUUGACUAUGUUGCUUCAGGGAUUCAUUAGGAGAAAAUGAGGAUCAAUAAAUAUAUAAAAUGAAAGGAAUGGAAUACUCGAAUUAAAAUAUAAUCCCAAUCACUAGAUUAGUAUAAAGGAAUGGAGUACCUGAAUAAACAUAUAGCCUUUUUCCAUGGAUUAGUAUAAUUCAUUAACACCAUAAGACAAUUAAGUCAGGGGUGGUCAUCUAUACUCUACUAGAUGACUUUGACAUGCCUAGAAGUGGUCUGGCCCCUAGGUAUUUAUGAACAGAGUUAUACCCUCAUACACACCGACAGUCGAAAAGAAAAGCAGGGGGAAUACUAAGAUAGUAAUUCGGUAUGCUCCCAUACCCUGACACAUGAUAUUGUCAAAAAAGGACUUCGUAUGAAAUAGUACUUCUAACACAUAAUAGUACCCCAUCACAUGUACUACCUGAGAAAAAAAUUCCUACUCUCCGUUUCGAGCUCACAUACACCCCAAUAUAAAAACUACCCAAUGUCAAAUUUUAAUUAAAGUAAACAUCCCUUUUAAGUCUUAGGCUGUAACUAAACAAGAUUUAAUACCCAUAAUCAUCCUAAAUAUCCUUCCUAUGUAAUAUCUUUACAAUACAGGGUAAGUCUAAAUCUCUUCAGCCUAACUCAAACUAAGAACCCUUUAUAAGUCUCAUCUCAUCACUAGGCAAGACUACAACCGCUUAAUAUCAACUCCUAAUACCAACUCCAUUUAGGCAACAUUAUCAUAAUCUAGUGUAUACAUUUAACAUAGAGUAUCAGGUAUAAAUAUGUAUUUACUUUCUUAAAGAUAAUAGUUCUAUUAUUAUUAUUAUUAUUAUUAUUAUUAUUAUUAUUAUUAUUAUUAUUAUUAUGCAAUAAUAUUAUAUAUACAUCUUAAAACCUAUAGAACCAUAUCUGGUUCGCAUAAAGUAUAUUAUCAAUAUACAUUUAUAAGCAUAUAAUUCAUAUAUAAACUUUCAACAUAUAUUUAAUACUUUUAAUAAUACUUGUAUUAAAAUCAUGUUCAUGAAAGUAACUAUGCACUCACAUAACUGAGGUGGUAGCUCUUUGGGAAACUGUAGCUUCUCGGCUAACACUUCAGUUAAUCCCUUUUGAAAUCAUGUUCAUGAAAGUAACUAUCCACAUCUCCUUUCUGGGUGUCGAAUCUGACAGUGCCACGUAUCAAAAUUUCGAUAGGCUACGUGUCGGUACUAUAUGGUGUUGCGUCACCAUGUCGGUUGAAGAGUUCGAUCGCUGCCUUUCCACAUGGCGUGUUAUUGGGCCACCAUGUCAUCGCGCACAUGUAUUUUCUGAAAUCUUUAAACGGCCAUAUCUUUCGCAUAUCAACUCUAUUUUCUACGUUCUUUAUAUCUUCAGAAUCCUUUCAAUGAGCACUACAACUUUCUUUUAAGUCUCAACAACUAAUUUUCACCCUAUUUUAAAUUCAUAUUUUUAUUGAUAUUAUACCAUUAAAGUCUAUGCGAAAAUCGUUAUUCCUUCAUACAAACUCCGUUCUCAACUGUCUCUAUAUGGACAUAAUCGUAUUUAUGAGAUCUUCAACCCUCAUUAACAUUGUUUUGGCUAACAAUCAAGCGAUCUAAAUUAUAUUUUUAAAUUCAUAUUUUAAAUUGUUUUAAAUUCAUAUUUUACAAUCUUUUAAAUUCAUAUUUUUAUUGAUAUUAUACCAUUAAAGUCUGUGCGAAAAUCGUUAUUCCUUCAUACAAACUCCGUUCUCGACUGUCUCUAAACGGACAUAAUCGCAUUUAUUAGAUCUUCAACCCUCAUUUACAUUGUUUUGGCUAACAAUCAAACGAUCUAAAUUUCGGUUUUUGUGUUGCCUACUAUUGUGUUAGAACUUCAAAAAAUCAUAACGUCCUCAUACGAAGUCAUAUUUUGACGUUCUUUAUAUGGCACUUUUGCUUUUACAAUUACUACGACUUUGAUUUAGAUUACUUAGGCUAAUAAGCAACAUAUAUCUACUUUAUAUUUUACAACACAUGUUGUCGUAUAAGGAUGAACAUGAAACUCUGAAAGAUCAUAACUUCUUUAUAUGAAUUCAGAUUUGAGCUUUCUUUAUACUCACAGAAUCCUCAUCACUUCUACUACAACUUCCAUUAAGAUUAUAUAUCCUAAAUAAGUUUUUAUCAAAAACGUUGUUUUUAUCUCUAAGUCAUAAAAGGUAUAUAUAGUCUGUAACAUCUAAGACUAACAAUUAUUCUCUUAUAAGGUUGAGCAUGAAACUUUGAAAGAUCAUAACUUGUCAUAUGAAUUCAUAUUUGAGCAUUCUUUAUACUUCGCGGAAUCCUCAUCACUUCUAUUACAACUUUCAUCAAGAUUAAUUAUCCUAAAUAAUAAUUUAUUAAAAAUGUUAUUUUUAUCUCUUAGUGAUAAAAGGUCUAUAUAGUUUGUAACACGCAAGACUAACAAUUAUCCUCUUAAGAGAUUUUAAUUAUUUAAUAAAAUGAAUAAAUAUGACUAAAACAUCUAGCCCUAACUUACAAGCAUUACAAAACAUGUACGUGGCAGAAGUCUUAGUGAUGUGAAAUUAACAGUCUAUUACAAUAAACUUAAUACAAACAAACCAAACUGAAACUAUCAAUCACUAGACAGUUACCUAAUUAUGAAUAAUAUAGUUAGGGUAAGUAAGGCUGUCAAACUCAAGGAGACUAUAUGUGUAUUGAUAAAUAUGAUCUAAACUAAUUAAAUUAAAUAGGGAAUUUGAUAAGUGAUUAAACUCAACUAAAAUCUUAAUACUUUAAACUAUUUAUUCAAAGAAGUAAUAACAAGUUCAAACAAAUAAUAAUAAUAAAUACUUUUUCUUAGAUUUUGAUUCACAAAAUGAUUAUGACUGAUUCAUACAAAGUGCAAUGGAAUUAGCAAAUAUGUACUGAUUCAUAAAUUAAUUAAUUCAAACUUAAUAUCCUUAAUCAUACGUUUCUAAGUUAUCUAGCACUAGUGAUAGAUUUCCUAGAUCCAUUAUGUUAAUUCGUACUACAAAAGACUUAAUAAGUAUGAUUAAUCCCAAGUAUAUUGGUAACUUCUCAAAUUAUCUAAAUUAAUAGUACAAUCACGAACAUUAAAUCAAUACUUUUAUGUCUAACUUGGCUUCAUACUCUGCAGUCAUCACUACACACCUUAAUUGUGGAGUUUAGGGUUGUAAAUUGCCAGCCACAAUAUGACACAAGACACAUAAUCUGAACCUAAUAUGCACUCAGUUACAUAGACAUAAAACUACCAAUAUUAAUGUGCAUGGAUCAUUAGUUAAGAAUUCAUAAUAAAGUGAAUAACUACUAAUAUUCCUUUCAAAUGAAUCAAUUCAAAAUAAAAUUAGAUCAUCUACAUCUAAACAAAAUUGGAACUUAGCCCAUAAACUAAUUAAGAAAACAAAGAAAACCAAAGAAAUUUAAUAUACAAUAAGCCCAAACUACUUGAGAACCACUUUAUUAUAUUUCUUCAGCCUUCUUACGUAGGUUCUAGUUUUCUAAUAUCAUCAAGAUAUGAUAUGAUCCUUUUCUCCUUUUAGAUGAACUAAAGGGUCUAUUUAUAGCCUUUUUAUGAACAACAGUAAUCACAAUGCAAUAUCAUAAACUUGGUAAUUAUCUUUAAAAUCUUCAAAAUCAUCAUAAUAUUCUUCAUGCAAAUUUCAAUAUGUCUUCCUUGGUCACUAAGCCACGAAAUUAUGCUUGAUGUUUUCUCUUUUCAGUUUCUAUUUCAUCAACUUGUCAUUUUCUGCUGCCAAACAUAAAUAUGUAGCAAUUAAGCAUCUUAUGUCCUAUUUUAAUUCAAAAAAAUACCAUAAAAAGUAUAUUAAAUGUCCCUAAAAUGUGUAUAAUUUAUGACGCAUCAAAACACCCCACACUUGAUGUUUGCUUGUCCUUAAGCAAACAUACAAUCAUUCAGAUUAAAUUAUAUGCUUUACUUAAUUACUCUUUACUAACAUUGCAUAAUAUAACCCUAUUCCCAAUCCACCAAUUAUAUCUAGCCUCAAUGUGUAUAUUUCUGUCUAAAUCCUAAUAACUUUCCCCAAAUUUAAUACUCAUAGACAGUGCAAGAAAGUGAUUAAGCCAUCUGAUGUGAAGCUCAUCCGAGCUUUUGGUAUGAUCUAGCAAGUCUGUUAUAUGAUGAAGUGAUGCUAUCCGAAGAAGUUGUUAUCCAAGCAUGUCUAUCAUCCAAGAGUGAACUUAUUUUUUUCUUUAGCAUGUUGUAGAUUAUGGAUUAAGAUCAUCAGGGAUCUUUUUUCUGUUGUACUAUCCUAUUGAUGAACGUUUUGAUACUUCAUCCUUUGUUCCAUUAGAUCUUAACAUGUACGUUAUUUUCUUAUAAAUAGCCCAGUCAACUUCAUUGUAAGAUGCACCUAAACGAACAUUGAAUAUAAUCAAUUAGAUUUCUCCUCAAACAUUCUUCUUCUUCCUUGUUUAUUACUUGAAGUUAUUUACUCUUUGUGUUUACUUAGUGCAUUUAAUACAAGUUAAUAUUCAAGUCUUUGACUAGAUUAUUUCAUAUUUACACUAGAACUUACCUAAUUAGGCUUAUUGUUAUUCACAACUGAUAUCAGAUCCUAUGUGGAUACCCUUUGAAUCCAUUUGACCAGAUUAUCAUUGCACAAGAACAUCUUGGUGUUCACUUUUAUUUCUAAGUCUACCUGAUAAAAGUUUUUUAUAUAUACCUCUAUCAUACAUAAAUUUUAAAACAUAACAAUGGCUAAUCCUUUGUACUCAAUGCACAUAUGCAAUAAUGUAGGUUUCCAUACACAAAUCCCAUUACUAGUGGUUGAGGAAUAUGAUCAUUGGAAGAUAAGAAUGGAACAUUUUUUAAUUUCAAAAGAAAAAGGAAAAUAAAUCUAGAGAUCUAUAAUAAAAGGUCCUCAUGUUCCACUUCGAACAGUGAUAACAUAUGUAGCUGCUCAAUUUCUUGGUUAAGAAUAAUUCAUCAAUGCUCUACUUAUAGGUCUUGAUAUUGAGAAGAUGCAUUCAGACGAUCUUUCAUUCUCAAUGAUGAUUUUUUAAAUCCCUCCUCUUUUGUUCGAGCAUAUCAAGCUAUGAAAAAGUGCCAAUGAAAUAUGGGGUAGUAACUAUUAGGAAAUUUUAGCAAAGGUGUUUAGAGUUUUUUGAUCUAAAUUGAAACAAUUACUACUAUGUUUACUUAAANNNNNNNNNNNNNNNNNNNNNNNNAUGAAAAUUGAUAGUAUAUAAUUUGUAGAUAUCAUCUCAUUAGUAUACCAGGUCCUUAUAGUUGGAUUACACUCUAUCGUACUUUAUUGUUUGUUUAUUUAUGGCAUAUCCAGAUUAGGCAUAGUCAGAUGUAUUGUGUACUUUAUUGUUUACUUUUGUAUUAUCUUAGACCCAUGCUUCAAAGAUUUGACAAGACUUGUCCUAUUGGUUGCCUAUUAAAAACACCAUGUAACGUAUUGUUAAGACACCCCAUCUUUUUCAUUAAUAUUUAAUAUAUCUUGUUCUCCAUCAACAUGCUUUUAAUGUUCCACUCUUAGCUAUGUUUACUUAGACGUUAUUUACUUAUUCCACAUUUCAUUUUUCAUGAUUGGUGUACCUUAAACUGAUCCUAACAUUAGCAACAACUGAGAGUAUUGCUAUCCUCUAUUUUCAAAUUACAUUAAUUAUGUCCGAUCUGUUUUGCACCUUUUUCAUACAUUCAUGAUCCAUCUGCUAAACAUAAUGAAUUUCUCUCUCAAGUUUAGUUCUGUUACAGAGGGUUGAAGUUUCCAUAGAUAGAUAUGUUAUUGUUAACUGGAUUUUUGGAAGUCUAAUAUUAGGGGUAAGUAAUAUUGUAUGUUGAUCGUAGUUUUAUAUAAGAAACAUACAUGGUUUCCAGAGUCUUUAGGUCUUGAUGAGACAUUCUGGUGUCUACACACUUUGAGAGUGUAAACACAAUGAUUCAAUGUAAUUAUUGGAAACAUAAACUAUUAUUUAUGUGAAGCGUUUACUUUAUUUGUGACCUUUGGGUUAGAAUACCAUCUUGAUCUCUCUUUUGCGUCCUCUCUCUCUCUCUCUCUCACUCUCUCUCUCUCUCUCUCUUUAUGUGUAUGUGUGUGUGGUGGGGGGAGGGGGGUCUUGUCGUUCCUUUUUCAACAUGUCAACUAACGCAAUUUCUGAGAAAUACUACAAACACUACAUGGCUUUUAUGUUUUUUCGAAAUCCUGUAAUGAGAAACUGAUGCACCUAACACGUUGAUGAUGGAUAUCAAAGUUUUUAUUUCAAUCAAGCCAAUAAAGGAAGAGGGAACAACUUGAGCCAAUUAAAGAUAAAACACGUUAUGAGGUCAUGAGAAUGGCAAUAACAUUCUAUUUUGAACAAAACUAUACAGACAAUGUUUUUAUUGGGUGUCUAGAAAAGGUUUUAGGAUAUUUUGAAGAAAAAAGAAACAUCUCAAUGUUUUUGUUUUUCUCUAAGAUAAUCUAAUACUUUAAUAUGUACUAGUUGUGAAAUUCAUGUAUUACACGAGUUAAUUUAAAAAAUAAAUACAUAAAGAGGUCAAAAUAUUUGAAAACUUUGAAUUUAUAAGAAAAUAAGAAAAUUAAUGAAUUAUUAUAAAUGAAAUGUUUUUUAUCUUUCAAAUUUAAACAAAUAAUUUAAAUAAAUAAUCAAAAUAAACUAAUGAGCUUUAAUUUGAAAAUUUUGCAAUUAUUGUAUUAAAAUAUUAUGUGGAUUUUUGGAAGUCUAAUAUUAGGGGUAAGUAAUAUUGUAUGUUGAUCGUAGUUUUAUAUAAGAAACAUACAUGGUUUCCAGAGUCUUUAGGUCUUGAUGAGACAUUCUGGUGUCUACACACUUUGAGAGUGUAAACACAAUGAUUCAAUGUAAUUAUUGGAAACAUAAACUAUUAUUUAUGUGAAGCGUUUACUUUAUUUGUGACCUUUGGGUUAGAAUACCAUCUUGAUCUCUCUUUUGUGUCCUCUCUCUCUCUCUCUCUCUCACUCUCUCUCUCUCUCUCUUUAUGUGUAUGUGUGUGUGGUGGGGGGAGGGGGGUCUUGUCGUUCCUUUUUCAACAUGUCAACUAACGCAAUUUCUGAGAAAUACUACAAACACUACAUGGCUUUUAUGUUUUUUCGAAAUCCUGUAAUGAGAAACUGAUGCACCUAACACGUUGAUGAUGGAUAUCAAAGUUUUUAUUUCAAUCAAGCCAAUAAAGGAAGAGGGAACAACUUGAGCCAAUUAAAGAUAAAACACGUUAUGAGGUCAUGAGAAUGGCAAUAACAUUCUAUUUUGAACAAAACUAUACAGACAAUGUUUUUAUUGGGUGUCUAGAAAAGGUUUUAGGAUAUUUUGAAGAAAAAAGAAACAUCUCAAUGUUUUUGUUUUUCUCUAAGAUAAUCUAAUACUUUAAUAUGUACUAGUUGUGAAAUUCAUGUAUUACACGAGUUAAUUUAAAAAAUAAAUACAUAAAGAGGUCAAAAUAUUUGAAAACUUUGAAUUUAUAAGAAAAUAAGAAAAUUAAUGAAUUAUUAUAAAUGAAAUGUUUUUUAUCUUUCAAAUUUAAACAAAUAAUUUAAAUAAAUAAUCAAAAUAAACUAAUGAGCUUUAAUUUGAAAAUUUUGCAAUUAUUGUAUUAAAAUAUUAUGUGGAUUUUUGGAAGUCUAAUAUNAAAUGACAUGUGAAAAAAAAAAUUAAUUCAAAAUAACCACAAAAUUAGAUUCGCCAAACUGAAUGAAAGUGUAUCAUGUUGCAAAAAACCUUUAUUUAUUAGAGUAGAGAAGAGAUUUAUGUAAUAUUACUAAACCGGUGUUCGAAGAAGAAAAGAAACAUCCAUGCUUUUUUUUUAAAUAAUCUAAUAUUUUAAUAUAUAUUUAUGUUUUUUAUUUAAAUAUAAAUAAAUAAAAUAUUUUGUUUAUUUAGUUGGUUAGUAAAUUGGUUUCAAGAUCAAUAUAGGCCCAUCACUUAAUCUAAUAAUAUACGUGAUCAUAUAGGUGUAUAACUUCAUCAAUAAUUAUAAAUAUAGAUAUAUAAAAAAUUAUUAUACCAAUAUCAUCUUUGGUUGGUACAUGUGCACACGAUUCAUUUACUUCUAAAAGCGAGUGAAUGUUUUGGCAAUGACAUUAAUAGGCAUAAAAAGCUGUUUUUUAAAGAAAGUAUGAAUAAUGUCCACUUUCUACCGAUUAAAUACUAGGAAGACACACAAACAUUCAUCAAGAUACCUAUACCAGUACUAGUACUAGUAAUUUCAAACUAGUAAACAUUAUGAUGCAGUUAAUACUGUUAUACACGUGUACAUCAUAAAUUAAAAUAUGUACAUAGUUCCGGGAUUGAAAACUUUGGAUCUAGAAUACAUACAAACCUCUAGUAGCUUUCCGGUUAAUCGAUACUUGUCGACUAAAGAGAGAAUGAUAAAACAAAACACUAGUCAACAUACAAAUAACUCCAAUCUUUUACUUUAAAAGUUGGUGUUAAUAAGAUAAGGUAAUUUCCUAAUUCCAAAUUACAUACAUAUUGCUGAUCAUCUCUAUAUAGUGAUUGUACGAUAUGGAGCUACCAUGAGAUUUGCAGCAAGUUUCCUCUCCUUGGUGGCUGGAUCUUGUAACAUCAACACUUUGUCUUUCUCUCUAACCCCAACCAUAUGUAGAUAUUCCCCAUCCUCUCUCUCUUUCCCUUUGAACAAUAGUCUUUGCUCUUUUGGCUCCAAACUAGUCACCAUUGAUAAUAUCAUCUUCAAUUCUCCUAUAGAAAAGGAAAAACAUUUAGAGGUCAUGACAACGACAGUUAUUUCAAAAACGACAUACAAAAAUUGUAUCAACGAACCGAUCAUAUGUCGGAAAAAUUAAAUUUGUUAGUGGUUAUAGACAACUUACCAAAAGUUGAAGUGGAUUGGAUGGAUAUAUCAUACCACUGCGAACCAGUUGCAACUCUAACUACCAUAAUCUCUUCUUCGAUGCUUUCCUCUCUAACCUCUCUCUUCUGAACAAGCAUCCCACCUGGUCGUACUUCCCAUUUGACUUCUAUGCCAUUUGUUGUGCCACAACUUUGGAGGCUAACCCUACUAUUGUUACUAUCAUUGUCAUCGUUGGUCUUAAGACAACGUAAUUUGGAAAAGCCCCUAGACAACUUUAUUGACCUAAACUUCAUCAUUAUCAUCUCUUGGUUUGGUGAUGUCUUUCUUUUUGUAUAUGUUUGUGAAAGUGAAAGGUGUGGAGUUGGUAGUUAUAUACAAGUGGUGAAGUUGGAAGUAAUAAGGACAAAAUUGGGUACCUAACAAAAAAUAAAAUAUUCAAGGGGUACAGUUGUCAUUUCCUUUUAUAAGGUUUAUUUGAUAUGGUUCAAGCACAUGGGGCGGGCUUGGAGGAUUGCUUAAUUGGCGGGACCGAACAUUUUAAUUGUAUAUAAAUGUGAUAUUAUUAGGUAUAUUUUUCUAUAUUUCUAAUUUGGAAUACACGUAAAAGUAAUAAUAUUUUUUUUGAUUAUUUUUUAUAAAAUUCUAACAUAAAAAUCAAAUAAAUAUAAAAUGGGAGAAUUUCAUAUAUGUCUUUCUUAAACAUCAAAAUAUAAUAUUUACCCAACUUAAUUUCUAAAUAUCAUAUUUAUCCUUCAUAAAAUUUCUAAAUAUCAUAUUUAUCCUUCGUAAAAUUUUAAAAUGUCAUAUAUUUCUUUUUUAAACAUCAAAAUAUCAUAUAUGUCCUUUUUAAAUAUCAAACUAUUGUAUAUGUACUUUCUAAAUAUCAAAAUAUCAAUGAUAAUAUGUAAAAUAUCCUCCAUCAACAUGAUAAUAAUCAACGACAACAAAAACUAAACAAUCAAAAUAUACAUUUCAUAGGGAUGGUUGAAGAUGAAUCUUUUUGUUUGUCUAGAGGACGACAUUCUAACAAUUUAGAAAUUUAUAUUUCAUUAUCUUAGACGUAAUGAUAAUAUGGUUAAAAUUUUUUAUUUAUUAUAAUAAUUCUAAGGUCAAAAAAAUGAUUAUAAAAUAUUAAAAACUUUAUAAAAAAGGAUUUUGGCAAAUAUGAUAUUUUGAAAGUUUAUGAAGGGUAAAUAUGAUAUUGAAAAAUUAAGCUGGGCAAAUAUGUUAUUUUAAAGUUUAAUAGGGGCAGAUAUGAAAUUCUCCCUUAUAAAAAUAUCAUUUUUUUUAAUGGAAACAAAUAAAUAUAUUAAGAAAAAACUAGCAAGAUCCUAGGAGUACAGAUCAUUAAGACUGAGUAGGAUUUUGAAGCCACAAACUUCAAUUAAUCCUAGCCUUAGAGUUAUGAGACGAGAACCAACGAAAUGAAAUAUCAACAAUGCAAUCAAAAAUCCUAUAUUUUCUAGGCUUAUUACUACUAAACAAAAUACCAUUACGGAACGUCUAAAGCACCCAAUUGACCACAGAAAAUACCAAGUCAAUAAUCACCCGUUGUUGUCUAACAUUAGGCCUCGCAUCAAUCCGGUCCAUCAUGUCUCUCAUAGUAAGAAAAACAAGGAUAUCCAAAUCAAGCCAACGACUAACUCGCCUCCAAAUCUUAGUUGCAAUUGUGCACUGGAUAAACAAGUGCAACACAUCUUCAGUAGCUUCGUUACACAAUGGACACAAAACCGAGUUAAGAUCCACCCCUCUCUCCACCAACUUCGACCUAAUAGGGAGCCUAUCCAUCAAUAAACGCCAAAUAAAAACAUUUAUUUUAAUAGGAACCGAGCAAUUCCAUCGAGUGGGCAAGGAACCCGACGGAAGUCUCGAAUUCAUCGAUCCAAUUCCUAGUCGAUUUAACCGAAAAGCACCCCGAAUUAUCAAAAUUCCAAACCCACUUGUCUGACUCCGUGCCAAGUUGAAAGUCAUCCAACAAAGACAUCAAACUUGCAAGCUACACGUGUUCAACCCCUCCUCUAAUAUCAUGACACCAAGCAAAAACCCAACCCGUCAGCGACCAAUAGUCUCUAACUAAAGAAUUUUGAUUAAAAGCUAGUGCAAACAAUCUUCCGAAUUGCACCAUAAUAGGAACAACUACAAAAUAAUUUCCAUUCGUACAUUUUAUAUACACAAUUAUGUAAAAUUUUAAAUCCAUAGUUGUAACAUAAAAAAGUAAAAUUGGCAUAUUAUAAUACAUAGAUACAUUAUGUAAAUUUUUGACAUCUAACUAUUUUAUAUGUUUAAAAUCAAGAACAUAUAUCAUUUUACUAUGGAAUGGUAAACUGGUCAAAUAUAUUUAUUUAAGAUAAACAUAUAUCAUACUACAUAAUAUGUUAUCGAUCAUUUCAUGGUUUCACUGCCAACGUGACUUCAAUGUGACAUCCAUGUCACCAUUAAUAUGUAUUUAAAAUUUCUUAUAGUUUUCUUUAAAUUAAACAAAAUAAAAACUGGAUGAAUAAGUUCAUCUUUGAAGAUAAUGUUCGAAACAAGAUUAUUUGUUAGACUUAUUCAUCCUCGAAAUUUAGAUCGAAAUCAAGUAUAACAAAUGAGAUGUACUUGUUCAAUAUUGAUGUUACUAGAUCGACAAAGAGAUAUAUUUUAUUUGGAUUGAGAUUUCAAAUUUAAAUUUGAUCGCCUAGGUUUUAUGGUUUACAAGUAUUUGUUUCAUACAAGAUUAAAUCAUAUAUGAUAGAUUCAAGUCUUUUAUGUUUAAGGAUUUCAAAUUUUCAAACGAAGCAAUUACAAAAGGGUUUUAGGGUUGAAAGUGAAACACAUAAUAUAAACAUAAUAUAAAGACAAAGAGUGGAAAAUAGAGAUAAGAAAUUCCCAUGGUUGAAAGAUGAACGAGGGUUUCGCCUUAGGGUUUAUAUUCAGAAGAUUAUUAUUAUGUUAUGGUUUACAAGUGUUGUUUUAGGGAAAAUGAAUUAUCAGGGUAAUUACAUUUUCGUUUUGUUUACCUUUAUGCAAUUUUUUUACACAUUUCAUUUAACUUGUUAAAUGUGUGUGUGUGUGUGUGUGUGUAUAUAUAUAUAUAUAUAUAUANNNNNNNNNNNNNNNNNNNNNNNNNNNNNNNNNNNNNNNNNNNNNNNUUGUCACAUGUGUACAAAAAAAUGAAGUUACCUUUCUUUGGAACCGGCCAAUAAAUUAUAUUAAAAAACAGGAGAAAAACAACACCACUAGAAAGUCGCUAGAUGGAAAGCAUGAUACAAAGUUUAACAAAAAGGAAAGAAAUAAAAGAUAGAUUACACAUUAAGAAAGGGGCAUUGAGACCGGUCUGCUCAUAAUAAAUCCCCCUUGUUACUACUUUUUUUAACCCACAAGAAGGUCACUGAUUUGAUGAUAUCAGUAACUUUGGUAGGUGGUAUUCGGUUGCUAUUAAAUAUUUGAUCGUUCCUUGCUUUCUAAAUUCUUCAAAGUGUAUCGUAAUAUAUUAUGAUAAAUAACUUCUUCCUCUUUGGACAUGUGCGCCAUCUAGCAGCAUAGUCCAAAACAGUAAGAACUAUCUGGCAGCAUGGAUGUUUUGCUUCCAAGGGAGUGGGUAAUUGUAAUGUUUAUGCUAGUUCUAAUUCUAUUUCAGGUACACAAGGAAUGCAAGGCUCCUCGUUUUUUCAUCAACUGAGCCUCCUUGGCGCUCCACCAACGACCCUCAGACCGUCUGCCUUGUGACAGCCUGCUGUUGUCAGUCCCGAAGGAGGCUAGGGUUUACUCCCAAAGGGUUCUUUUAUGUGAUGUAUGCUUAGAAAUGACCUACGACAUGGAACAAUGCCUUUAAAUAUGGUAAAAGCCCUAAUUUUAUGGGCUUGGGUUGCAUAGUGUGACAACCCGAAAUUUCCAUUGUACGAACAUCAUCCAUUCAAUAGAAACUAGUUCAGCUUCAGUGAACUUCAAGCUUUUCCGAACAAGUUUGUGUACAUUAGGGUUCAUGUUUUAGAUGAUAUCAGGAGAGUGGAUACUCCUGGUUUUGUGAAACUUGGGCAUUUCAAGUUUCAUACUGUUACAGUCCAACGUCAGGAAUAAAAAUAUUUUCUGUCAAAAUAAUCCAGGACUAUAAAUAGUUUUCUGAAUUAAAUUAAUUCAUUAUUCACAAUUCCAAAUAGAGAAAAGCCAUAUUCUCUCUGACGGAUCUUCGGGUUUUCAUCCCAGAUUGUGAGUCUACUUUUCUAUAUGUGUUUCAAUACUUGUUUAAUGCUUAUUAACAACAAUAACAUGUUUAGAUUACAAGAUCCGGGAGUUUACCGCCCAAGAUCGUUCUUGGGGAGUAAACUCCAAAAUGGAACAUUAUGGCUUCCUAGUCCCGAUUCCUUGUUAGACAACUUGUUUAGGAGUUAGGAUAUGAUCUUUAUAGGCCAAAAAGCAUCCAAGAAACACAAGUUCUAGGAUUUUACGGCCAAGGAACUCCCUUGGGCCGUAAACCCCUUUUCAAGGGCUUAAAGUGCCCCAAAUCUUCCCCUAAUGCUUAAGGACCUUUACCCUAAAUUGCUUGUGCUUAUUUUAGGCAUCAAAAGACAUCAAAAUCAUAAGUUUCUAGGAGUUUACGGCCAAGGAACUCCCUUGGGCCGUAAACCCCUUUUUGUGGGACAAAAAUCAUUCCAAGCAACCCUUAAGCCUUUAGACAAUUUACCUUGCACCUUUGGGACUAGAAUGGAGAGUAGAACACAUAGAAAUCACUCCUUGAAAGGAGUUUACGGCCAAGGAACAUGACUUGGGCCGUAAACUCCAAGUGAAGGCACCAAAGUGUGCCUCUUGUCCCCAUUAGCCUUAGAUAAAUUCAUGGAUGCCAUUCUUGAUGUUUAAGUGCCUCAAAUCAAUUAAAUUCCUAGAGUUUACGGCCGUAAACUCUAAGGUGAAGGACCUUAGGCCGUAAACUCCCAUAUGGAGUGUUCUAAAGCCUUAAACUACUUCAUGUGUUAUUCCAAUAAAGCUAGGAGUGUUCUAGGGUCAAGAUAACACCACAAAACACCCAAAAACACCAUUUGAGGAGUUCACGGCCAUAAACCUAUGAGUUUACGGCCGUAAACUCCAAGGUGUGGGGUUUGUUGGAUGGUGAACUCCUAUACAAGGCCCUUUGAUGUUUCAAACCCUUUUGCCUUGUCCCGUAGCAACUUAGAUGCAACCAUUUGGACCUUAAACACUCAUAAAAGUGUUUAAAUGUUUUCUAAGUGUCUUAACUUAUUUAUUUAAGUUAUUAUUUGUCUAAUUAGUUAUAUAUAUGCUUAUUAUAUGAUAACUAGGCUCGUGCGUGUAAACCAGUCUCCGUUUGUCACCUAGCACGGUAGCCGACACUGCAAUUCAAACGACUCACCACAAGUGAGUUCAUACCCCUUGAAUCAACCUUUGAAAUGAUUUUAAGUGUUUUAAAUACUUUAUGGGGGGGAAAACAAGUCAAAUACUUAUAAGUUAUUGCUUCAAUCACAUGUGAUUGUGUUUAAUCACAUGUGAUUAAUAACUAGGAAAACAACGAUUUUUACCACUGUUCAAACUGUUUUUCAAACUGCUUUACUAUUGAAAUGUUUUACAAACUGUUUUACUAUCCAAACUUACUUAUAGACUGUGAUUCAAACAAAUGCUUCUUAUACUUAAACUGUUUUAUCAACUUAUGCCUUCAAAAUGUUUUAUAGAUCGACAUCAAGUCGAUCUUCUCUUGAAAUUAUAUUUAUGCUUCAAAUGUUUUAUGAAAACUUAUUUAUGCUUUUAUAUAUCCAAUUGCAUGCCCAUAUAUGUAUAGAUAUAUAAAUAAUGUUUAAAGGGCUUAGGAAGGCCAUCCGCCCUAUUUCCUUUUCCUCGAUUUGGAUGUGGUCUGGUGGGAUUUCGGGUGACCAUCCGAAGGUCGUUUCCAUAUUACUUAUAUAUCAUAUAUACAUGUAUAGACAUAAAAGUACUUCCAUAUUCAUACUCAUCAGUACAUCAUUAGCUGGUUACCAUCGGGGUAACGCAGGAUCAUACAUAUACAGAUAUACUAGAAACAAUACAUAUACAGAUAUACUAGAAACAAUACAUAUACAGAUAUACUAGAAACAAUACAUAUACAGAUAUACUAGAAACAAUACAUAUACAGAUAUACUAGAAACAAUACAUAUACAGAUAUACUAGAAACAAUACAUAUACAGAUAUACUAGAAACAAUACAUAUACAGAUAUACGAGAAACAAUACAUAUACAGAUAUACGAGAAACAAUACAUAUACAGAUAUACGAGAAACAAUACAUAUACAGAUAUACGAGAAACAAUACAUAUACAGAUAUACGAGAAACAAUACAUAUACAUGAAUACGUAACAAUUGUGAUCCACUGUAUCGGGCAUGCCUUAAAUGUCAUGGCCCGAGUUGUAGCCAGAAUUCUCUUGGAGGGAGAGCGUGAGUUUGCGUAUAGAUCUAUACUGGAUUGACUAUCCUACACCUUGCUGCUAGCUACAGCCGGACCUGCAGGUCUGCGGGUGCCAAACGUCAUUUCUUUUUACGACCGUUCAUUAUGUCGUUGAUUAUCAGUCGAUAGCAUGGUGCAAUUAAUCACAUUAUGCCUUAAUAUAAAUCCGGUUUAAGGUAGUAGUAUUUAGUACAAUAGUAGUCUUAUUAUACAAAGCUACAGUACUACAAUGAUUUACCCAUUACAUAUUUUAGUGAUAAUCUCAUUUAAGCAUUAGUGUACAAAUUAUAUUUUUAACACAUGAUAGUUAUACUUGGGUAAUUACAUACUUUUACAACAGAAAAGUUUACAAAACAGCCUAGCCUUGGUAGAAGGUUACUUUUAUAGAAAAUAUAGGAUUUUCUGAGUGAUUCAAACUUUUACAAACACUUUCAAACAUUUACUUACAUUUUUACAACUUAUACAUUGAGACAGGUUCAAACGUUUUUACAAGAAACCUUGACACUAAAAUACUUAUGAACUCACCAGCUUAAUGCUGAUAAACUCUUUCAAAAUAACUUGUAUUCUCAGGUCAUCAGUAGACAGGUACCGAGGCCAGCUUUUGAGAAGAUGGAGUGCAUUCAAGACUCAUCUCAUAUUAUUUUGUGUUUCGUUAUUUUUGGUGUCUAUAACUGUACAGAACACACUUGUAUUGAAAUUAUAUAUUUAAUGCAAUGGAUGAUGUUGUUUGCUUAUUUACAUUUACUGUGUUGUGAUACUUUACAUGACGUCCUCCGCCCCAGAACGUUUCCGCCGUUCUUGGUUUUGGGGUGUGACACAUAGCUUACCACACCGUGGUGACCUUCUCACCACGGUAUGGGGACGGGUUUAAAAAAUUCCAAUCCAGCUUUAAACAAUCACAACUUCUUGGUUUUAGACCCGUUUUCAAUGAUAUUAAUAUACACUUGAAGGUAUUAACAAGCCCUACAGUUCUAUCCAAUUACUUUUGGCAUAAAGCAUACCGAACUUGAUUCAUUAAUACAUGCAAAAGUCCACAAUAUCAAUUUUUCCCAUUUUACCCCUUUUGUUCCAAUACACAAUUCAGGACUUAAAUCACUUAACUAACAUUAUCAAGAUCUACCCUUGAAGCUCAAGACCUUUACUUGAUGAAAUUACUGUCUACUAUCUCGAUAUAAGAAACUUUCCGAAACUGGGUGUUACACGUAUUUCCAAAUAAUUUUUACAAAUUCCAAAAAGCUAUAUAUGGUCUUAAACAGGCUCCUCGGGCCUGGUAUGAAACUCUAACAUGUUUUCUUAGGCGUUCAGGUUUUUAAAGAGGUUACUUUCUUUGAAUUUCUUCUUCUUACAUGUCAUAGUUUUCUUGCAAGUCAUUUGUUUAUUUAAUUAAAACACGAGUUACGAUAUGUGAGCAUAAGUAUAAAAUAAGUGAGAGAAGCUAAACUAAGUAGUUCAUUUUCUUCCUUUUUCUAUAGAAAGACAAAACCAAGAGUGCUCCAGUGUCCUUUCUAUAUAUCUCUUGCAAUCUCAUUGCUUGAAUAUAGUGGUUGAGUUUGUUUUCAUUUAAAGACUUAUUUAAUAUAAGAAUUAGAAGCUUAAGAACAACUCCAUAUAAGUUUAGGACUAGCAUUUGUUGGUGGCUUUGGUAAUUUGUUGGAUGGAUACACAGAGAGAUUCUAGCUUGGAUCUUUUUCUUCUUCAUGAACUUUCUAGCCUCCCCUUGAGUAUUCAGAGGACUACAAAGGUUUUUAAACUUUUACCUCAUCCAUUUUAUUUCCAAUCUUUACAUGUAGAUCCUUUGUUGGGAAUAAAACUAUAUUAUGUUGUUCAAAUUUUAAAGUCCUUCGUUGCUAAUCUUGUGUUUUAGAUACAAAUUUUGAAUAAAAUCUCAACAAUUGGUAUCAGAGCCGUCUUGUAUGCAUAUUUAGAAUUUAUGAUUAUUUGCAUAAUCUUUGUUUUUGGAAAAUAUGGAUAACUUUGUUUAUGUUAAAAGCAAAUCCGUACAUAUUUUCUAUGACAACUAGACGACUUUCGUUUCUUGUGAUAAACGUUUACAUGUAUAUUUUUAUUAUUUAAGGUUUUCUUACAAAAACGAAGUUCUUUUUUAUGUGUUGAUAUAUAUUUAGAGUGCAUAAAGAACCCAUAGACCUUAUUAUGUUGUUGUUUGUGAUGAUUCAUUAAAAUGGUUGUAAUAUUCUUUUAUUAAUAUGAUAUUUACUAAUAAAUAGCUAGUUUUCAUCUUUGUUAUUUUAUAAGUAAUAUACUAGUAUUAGAACAGUUUUUAUUUUAUAUAAAAUGUAACAAUAUGAAGAUGAUGGACAUUUUGAAGAUCAUGCUGAUACCCAUAGGUUUAUAAGGAUUUUAUAAAAGUUCAUAACUUUUGUAAAAGUCUUAUAAGUUUGCUACAAAGUAGAUUGCCAGAGAAAGUGGAAGCAUGAAUAACAACAUGAAGAUUUUGGUCCACUUUGUCCUUUAGGGAAGGACUUGACUCUUUUAUGCUGGCUCAUAAAAGUUUCACCAAAUCAUGACUUGUUUUAUGCCUUUAUGCAUGAUUGUGUUGUUUAUUUAAAAUGUUGAUUAUUAUGUGUGGUUGAUAAAUUAUUUUUCAUAUGCUUAUAUAGUUUCUGAACAAAAUAAACAUCAAAAUAAGUUUUUAAUAUAAAACUUGUAAACAUAAGAUGUAUAAAGUUAUGGUUUUAAUAUGAAAGGUUAUCUAUAAAAACCUUAAUAACAACAAGUUUUGAAAAUAUUAAAUUUUAUAAAUCUAAAAUUGAGAUAUUGUAACUUAUCUAAACUCCAAUUUCUUAAUAAUAAAUUAAAGUGUUAUUAAAAGAUAAAAAAAUUUCUAUAAUGCUCAACUUCAAACUUCAUAUUAGAUAUUAACUUUAAAAUUAAACUGCGUCAAAUUAUAUAAAAACUAGAUAUUGUACCUAGUCCUAGCCUUGCUAUAGGGAUGAAGAUUAAUAAAGCAUAUACUUGAUUAUCAUAUAAAGAUUACAUCUCAUUGUUCCUAACUCAAAGUCAUUUAUUAGGUUCAAAGUCUGAUAUAAUGUUUUGGUAGUUGAUGGAUUUGCCAGAAACCAUUAAGAAAACUCAUAAAUGAGAGAUUCUAUAUUUUUCAUGUUAUAGAUGAUUCCUACCAUAUAUACAAACAAUUUGUGUUUAUGACUAGGUAUUAGUUACGUUCACCAAUUGCUUGUUAAAACCAGUGCCAACUGUUCUUACGUGAGGCUUUGGUUCUUGAGUUGUUUCAAGUUCUAUGUGCCUCCCAAUUGCCUUGUUGUUAGAAGCUUUCUUUUUGAUAACUUGGCUUUCAAAGGAACAAGAGAAGUCAUUCUUGGUGGGCUUGUAUAAAAUAAUCUAAGCAACCUUUUAGAAUAUUAUACAAAUAUAUACUUAGUAGAUUUUAGGUUUAGAAGCUUUAUUCUAAUAUAGCUUUCAAAUCCAAAACAUUUAGUAUGAUAAGAAUGGAGUCUUUCCAUACUAAAUCUUAUAAAGUGAUUUAUGUAAUCAUUAGUUAGUGUAUGUACUCAAGACACAAAUGAUUGUGACUAAAGCAUAAUCCGAAAAGAAUAAAUGAGGAUAAUUUCUAUUAAUUAGAAAAUAAACUGUAUCUAGUAAGAUUUAAUUCAUUAUUUAUUAUCUCUAUGGUUUUAGAUGGUUCUAUUGGUUUGUAUCUCAACUUUAUAUUUGACAACCUCUAGAAAGGUUUCAUAAUUAUUUUUAACAGGUAAAAUAUAAUUACAAUGACUAUAGUUAUUAAUAAAGUUGAUUAUGUAUCCUGUACUAAAUCUAUGAUUCUUUAAUAAUUAUUUUCUCUAUAGUAUAGUGAAAUUAGGAUUCUUUUAUAUAUAAAUAAGAUUCACACAGGUUAAAUAAACCAUAUUAUUUUCCUUCAAAAUUCUAUUUCUUGAAGUUGGAAUAUGUGUAUAUCAUUUAUAUAAUAAAGAUAAAAAUGUAAUAGAUAAGUUUUAUUCAAAUCAAGUUUGAAUCAAAAAUGUUUUCAUGAACUUAUUAUUUAUAAAACAUUGAUAUUUACUUUAUAAUUCUAUUAAAAGAUUUUGUACUCAAAAACUAAAUUUAAUCAUUUUAGAAUAUGAAUGCGAUCGUUAUGAAAAAUGAUUAAGUAAAUAAUGAAUCAUCUAAUAAAGUAACUGAGACAUAUAUAUUUACACAGGUUAAAUUAAAAGAUACAUUGUUCCAAAAAAAAUAUCAUUUUUCAUUGCAAGUACUUUAUGUUCUAAACAUAAGUAAUAAACUAAACUCCAAGACUAAAGUUCCAACUUGCAUGUGCUCAACUGCUUACUCUUUUUGAAUAUUUCUAAAAAUUUACGAAUAUUAGAUUAACAUUAAGUAUCAAGUACUUGAUUGUUAAAUGAAAAGUAAAAUUUCUAGCUUGUAGAUACCUGAUUUACUGGUCCGACUAGUCCUACUCAGAUAAGAUGGACAAUUCCUCUUCCAGUGUCAUAUUUCUCUAUAAUAGAAACAAUAUCCAUCUUUAUGGGCCUUUCUGGAUUUCUUGGGCCUAAAUGUGUCCUUUCCAUGAAAUUUGGGUAUCUUAGAGCACAAAAGGUGUAUCUCUUCAACCUUGCAUUAAUCUUCCAUUUUUUGAACUGGCUCAAACCAAAUAUCGUUGUAUUGAUGGAAUAUCUAAUAUACAUUUAAAUUAUCCAAGACUUCCUGGAAGUUCGGAAUAAUUAUUUUGAGUAUGAUGCCAGAAACAUGUAGAUCAUCACAAUGAUGCCUCAACCAGAUAUCAUGUUCAGGUCUUUUUCUUAAAGCAUGUGGUUUAGGAAUAGGGCUUUUAAGAAUGUUAUUAUUUCAAGUAGAUUAGCAAGUGAAAUAUGAUGCAUGGUAAUUAGAUCAGAUUUUGUUUUUAUCUACAAAAUUUUAACAAAAUUCAUUUAGUAUUUUAAAUAUUUAAUCUUCAAUGACUAAUAUCGUUAAGUUAAAAAAAACAUUAAUUAUCAAAAUCUAUGAUCCAAACUGCAAAAUAAAUAAAUGGUUAGGUGACCUUUAUCAUAUUCAUUGAAUUCAACAAGGUAGAUAUCAAGUAUCAAUUAUAUUCUAUUAUAUAAUUCCUAUCAUUAUGUGAUCACUAAUAAGAAAGUUUAAUAGACACGUUUGAUAACAUCUAUACCUCUAAUCUGUAUUGCUUAGUUGACCUUUAUCAAAAUAGAUUUCCGAUCAAAUCUUCCAGUUUGAAGAAAUUGCGUAAUCAACAUAUAAGUAGGUUAUAGAAAUCGCAAAUACACCCCCAUCACCAAAAGAUAACAUUAGCGGUUAGGUGACCUUUAUCCCACUAGCACAUACAAGUGACGAACAAGUCAUAUUCGAAUAGGAUUGUAUAGAUUUGAGUUUAAAUAAGGGGUUUUCCAUGAUUUAUAAUUCUAGUUUAAAAAACAUGAUAUACCAUAGUUAUUGCAUGCAUCCAAUAAGCUAUGAUACACUUUUAUCUAAAAUCACAUUUUAAUAAUGUUCUUUUAUAAAAUCUAAAUUUGAUAUAUUCGACACGAUCAAAUUUCAAAUUUAAUAUCUAGUGACUAGUAUUAAGUUUGAACAUUUGAGCGCCAAAGAACAUUUAUAACCCAUUUAAUAAAACUACCUUUUAUAAAUAAGGUUUGGAGUUUGAUAAGUCUCCAAAAUCUCAAUUUUAAACUUAUAUAAUUUUAGUCUUGAAAUGUACCUUUUGCUAGUUUUUAAACGAUAAAACUCAUUUUAUUUUUAGAAUUAUCUUACCAUCUUAUGUUAAAAAAUAAAUUUCAUUAAAACCAAAAUCCUUGUGAUGUUAUUUAUGUUCACAUAUUAUUUUGAAUGUGAAAUAUAAAUUUAAGAAUGAUAACAUAAUAUCAACAUAAACAUAAACAACACAAGCAUCUGAAACAUAUGUGCAUAAACCAACCAUAAACUAGAGAUAUUCUAUGAGCCAUCACAAAAUAUCAAGUCCAUUCCUAAGGGACAUAAAGAUAUCAAUCUUGUAUUAUCUUCACGCUCCCACUUGCUUCAACACCUUGUAGCAAGUUUAUAAAAAAUAAUUUUACAAAGUUUAUAAAACUUUAAUAAAAUCAAGUUUAUAAACUUUUGAUCUUCAAGAUGGCCACCAUCUUGAUUCUUGUUACAUUUCUAUAAAAAUAAAGUAUUUCUAAAACUAAUCUAUUACAAGUGUGUUAUAAUCCAUCUCAUAGCUAGUUACAUUGCAACUAAAUAGUUGGUCUAAGUGCCCAAAAAUUUGUACACAACAUAUAUAUAUAUAUAUAUAUAUAUAUAUUCAUACCUUAUGAAUAUAAUUAGUUUUUGUUUUCUGUUGUUAUUAUUUCCUAAAACUAAUAAUUCUCAAUAUCUUAGUAAAACAUAUUUUCAUAAAAUAAUGAUUUUCUAAUUAUAUACAAGUGUUAAUUAUAUUUAUUAACAAUCAGAUUACUUUAAUAAAUAAUCAAUUUGUAUUAACUUGCUAUAAUGUGUGAACCUAUAAGAUCAUAUGUCAUUAGCAAAUAUAAUUCUAUAAUAACUCUUGUACAUAAAGAUUUUUCAUAUUGUACAUGUCAACUUUCUUAUAAAUUGUUAUUGAGCCCUGACAUUUGGCUACCCCCUUCAAAAGGAUUUAUUAGUCACGCGCCCAUUUUGUUUCUAUUUCACCGCCCAAAGGUUCUAGGGUUCGAGAGAGAAAUUCCUACUAUAAGGAAGGGAAGAAGGUAAUCCAAUUAGUAGAAUGUUGCUUUCUAUCGGUUGUUCACAUUCAAACAUGAGUUAGUUCAGAGUCACCACCCUUUUGACACCUCCCUAUUAUUACAAAUCACUAGGGUAAUACCCGUGUAAAACAUGGUUUGACAACUUAAAUAACAAAAAUAAUACAUUGUAAAUGACUUAUUAUAAAAAUAUAAACAACGAAAUUCAAAUCUAUGUAUAUAAAUAAAAACUAAUAAAUCAAAAAACAAAUAAGAUUUAGAUUGUAAACUGAUAUUUUAGUGAAAGAUCUAACUUUCAUAUUUGGAGUUUGUAAUUUCAUGAUGAUAAUUUUAAUAAAUUAUUCUUGGUUAUAUGGGAUGCACCAUAUCAAAAAUGAAAUUUAUCAAAGACGAAUUAAAAUUUCUUCCUUAUAAUAAUAGAUAGAGAAGAAUUGAAGGUUAGGAAAAUAAAGAAGCGAAAUUGGGGGAGAUAAGCAAAAUAACUUUGUAGAAGCUAUUUUGAAGGAAAUCGUAACUCUUACAAGAAAAAUUCCCGCUGCUACCAUUGUAGCAACAUGUAUAAGGGUCGAAAUAGGAGUUAGCCCUUCCAUUGCAUCAAGUAACCAUACAUGAAGGGGAAAUUGUGCAGAUUUCGCAGUUGCACCAGCAAAUAAUAGAAUAGCACACAAAGUAACAAAUAAAAAAAUGACCUCAUUAUUAGAAAUCAAGUUAUUUAUUAGAAAUCAAGUUAUUGAAGAUUUGGAAUAAAUCACGAAAUUCGAAACUCCCCGUUAUCCAAUAAAACCCUAAAAUGCCUAAUAAUAAACCAAAAUCGCCAACACGAUUAGUUACAAACGCCUUUUGACAAGCCUUUGCUGCAACAGGUCGUGUAAACCAAAAUCCUAUUAAUAGAUAUGAACAUAUUCCAACUAAUUCCCAAAAAAUAUAAAUUUGUAUCAAAUGAACUAGUAACUAAUCCCAACAUGGAAGUACUGAAAACACUCAUAUAAGCAAAAAAUCUCAAAUAUCCGUGGUCAUGAGACAUAUAAUUAUCACUAUAAAUAAGAACCAUAAUUCCAACAGUAGUGAUUAAUAUUAACAUAAUAGAAGUAAGCGGGUCGAUCAAGUAUCCGAAUUCUAAAGAAAAAUCAUUAUUGAUAAUCCAAGACCAUACAUAUUGAUAGACAUAACUGCUAUUUAUUUGCUGAAUAGACAGAUUCAUGGAAAAAAUCAUGACUAUACUUAACAAUAAAACACUCUGAAAAGACCACAUACGACGAAGACUUUUUGUUGCCGUCGGAAAAAGAAGAAGUCCCAACCCUAUUAACAUAGGAACUGGAAGUGGAAGGAAAGGUAUUAUCCACGCAUAUUGAUAUGUCUGUUCCAUAAAAAAAGUUUUUUAUUCUUAAUUAAUUGUUUCCGAUUCACCGGAUCUUACCUCGUUCGAAAAAAGUCAAUAAAAAAUCAAGAUAUGCACUAACUUAUUUAAUAAUUUUAAAUAAUUUUAGAUUAGUAUUUAUUCUGAGUCUUUUCAGAAUCGUUCAAAUCAAAUAUUCAAAACAAGAAGUUACAAUUGGUCAAAUGAGAUGACCAAGUUAGAUAUAAAAAUGAAUACUUAUAACAUGAAAAUGCAAAUCUAAAUUAUUAUUACGAGAAAUUCUCGUAAUAAUAAUUUAGAUUCAUAGAGCAAGGAUAAAAAAUUACGCUAAAAAGAGUACUUGAUGCUGAUAUGAAUUAUAGGAUUAACUAAGGUCAUCGGUCUAAUGAAAUAAAAACUCUUGAGUUUAGUUAGUUUCUUUCAACGCAUUAACUAAUUCAUUAUGGGAUUGAUUGUUUUCCAUUUCAAUCAAAACGAUUUCUUAGUAAACGUUAGAAUAUUAUAGAUCUAAAAUGAACUUUUUUUAUCGAGAAAGGGUAAAAAACGCCUGAGAUAUUUUUUUAUCAAACCACGUAUCCUUUAACAGAUUUAUUAGUAAUCUGAUUCGAAUUUCAAAAUUGAAUUUAGGUGUAUUCUUUUCUCGAGUUUGACUAAAAAAAGACUCAAGUUUUUUAGUAGGCAAAAGUUUACAAUUGAGGUAUUUUAUUAGUUGUAAAUAAAGUCUAGAAUGACGAAAAUCAAGGUCUUUUAGGUUCUUUCUUUAUUUUUAUUAAAUCAUUAAGUUUCAUUUCUAUGACCUAGCAGAUUCUAAAGAUAUAAAUUUGAGAGGAGAACUAAGAGUUCCAAACCAAAAAUUUUUGGUUUGACAAAUCUUGUAUGGAAUCAAAAUUUUAUUAUUUCGAGUAAUUUUUGAUCCAAUUUAACGGAUCUUUUACAUAUCUAUAUUUCUUUUUUAUGAAGAGAAUAUUAUUUAUAGAAAAAAUAGAUAAUGAAUAAGAAAUAAUAAUUUGUUUUGAAUAAUAGAUGUCUUUCACAUCCAACUAUAACAAUGAUUUUCAAAUGGCAGUUCCAAAAAAACGUACUUCUAUAUCAAAAAAGCGUAUUCGUAAAAAUAUUUGGAAAAGGAAAGGAUAUUGGGCGGCGUUAAAAGCUUUGUCAUUAGGGAAAUCUCUUUCUACUGGGAAUUCCAAAAGUUUUUUUGUGCGACAAACAAAUAAGUCCUAAAAUAUUGGAAUAAUCGGAAUGGAUUUGACUCACAAAUUUGGCUCAAUACUUUUUGAAUAUGAAAUUAACAAUGGGCAGUCCCUAUUCUAAUCAAUAAGAAAUAGACCAGUACAAGAUUUUUUAUUUCUUUGUAGUAUAUUUUCACUAAUAUUUUUAUGGUGGGAAGUCUUAUUUUCCCCAUCGACCUUUACAAUAAUGAACAAUUUUUCUCUUUCUCUGGAAGGGCAGAUAUAAUAUUUUAGUUCA
Molecule: long non-coding RNA, 48338 nt
Filed under: Lactuca sativa (garden lettuce)
Lineage: Eukaryota; Viridiplantae; Streptophyta; Magnoliopsida; Asterales; Asteraceae
Description: long non-coding RNA (LSAT_LNC010034)
Source: RNAcentral